Molecule: long non-coding RNA, 46940 nt
Filed under: Setaria viridis
Lineage: Eukaryota; Viridiplantae; Streptophyta; Magnoliopsida; Poales; Poaceae
Description: long non-coding RNA (SVIR_LNC002436)
Source: RNAcentral
CCCACCUCCCGAUCAAGCCAUCCAGCCGCCUCUCCUCGCCCUCCUGCCUGCGCGCAUCUCUCUAGAGCUUAAACUCUCCUAGAGAGAUCUCAGGCAGCCCCAAUAACCAACCGCUCGACCCAACUCGUCGUCGUCGUCGUCGCAGAUGGCCGGCCUCAGGAUGAAGCUCGUCGCCGCCGCCGCCGUGGCCGCCGCGCUCGUGGCGUCCGCCGCCGCCCAGGCCCCCGCGCCAGCGCCCACCUCCGACGCCUCGGCCGCGGUGCCCCUCGCGGCGGCGUCCUUCGCCGCCGCCGCCUUCGGCUACCUCUUCUGCUAGAUCCGUCGUCCGGGGAUGCCGUCGUGCUCCCUGGCCGGUCGGGCCUGCUGAUGAUGAUAUGAUUCGUUUUGGCGUGAGUCGAGUCCCCUGUUCGUGGCGCGUGUUGAGGGAUGUCGGUGGGCGUGUGUAUGUACGAGUCGGCGGCGGGUGGAGGUGUGCGCGCGUGUUGGAUACGUGCGUCGACGCGCCACUCUUUGUGGUGGAGAUCAUGUACCCGCUGCGCUUCUGUUUAUCAAUGAGAUGAUUUAUUUGAUUCUUUUCAUCUUAUAUACAAUAUACAUGAGAAUUGCGUAUUCAGUUUGUUGUGUUUUGCUCUGCAAACUUGCGAUGUGCAGAUUGUUGUAAAACACUGUCGAACGAUUCUCCCUCAAUCGAGUUCUUCCGUUGCAAAGAAAAAGAAAACGGUGCAUCUCUCUUAAAAAACGAUUACUAUUCUUACGACCUGAAAAUUAAGGGGUGCAGGCUACAGUUCAAACAUGUAAUUGGAAUCUGAAAUCGAUUUGACCGACUAAGGAACUCACCAUCUGAACUCUAAGCCCUUGUUUACUUCACCCCCAACUCCCAACUUUGGCACUAUGCAAAAAGAAGAUUCCCCAUCACAUCAAACUUGCGGUACAUGCAUGGAGUACUAAAUGUAGAUGAAAUUAAAAACUAAUUGCACAGUUGUUGUACUUUGCGAGAUGAAUCUUUUGAGCCUAAUUAGUCAAUGUUUGGACAAUAAUUCACAAAUACAAACGAAACGCUACAGUGUGCUACAGUGCUAGCACAGUAAUUUUACAUCUCCUAAUUUGACCAGCUAAACAAGGCCUAAGCAAAACGACCGGCAUAACGACUUUCAUUUAUGACCAACCAAUUCAGAAUUGACAAGCUUUAUUUUUCCUACCUCCCUCGAAAAGAAUGCUGUGGCACGGAGUCCUUGUGAAGUUCGUUAGGAGAUGCCGGGCCGGGGUUGCUUAAUCAGUUUGGUGAGGGAUCCGAACGUUGAAAUGAUUGAAGCAUGUUGGCGUCGCCACUUGCCAGCCAAGAAGCCAUGUGCUGCUCGUUAAGCACUGGUCCACAGAUGAGUUGUCUUGGUAGGGGCAGCCGUACCCGCUGUAUCACCGCUGGCAUGCUCCAAGCUGGAAAUGGUGAGCCGUCGCAAUCGCUGCAGUAUUACCCGACUAGUAUGUGCUUUAUGGAAUUGCAGGACUGCUUAAUUUUGACCGUGCUCGUGGAUUUAGAUGCUGGUCGAUGGCUCCAGCUCGAUGCCUUUUCCUACUGUACUGGCUACUGCCGACCGAGAGUCUCAGAGCGUGCAGAAUGCAGGUCGAGUUCCGCAAAGUUGUUGGCGUACACAGCUGGGGAUUGGGCCAGUGCCAGCUCUACACACCACUGGGCCACCUUUGUGUUUUCUCCGGCCUGCUUGAAAAUGUAUUGGGCCAGUUUGUUGGGCCGCUUACUUACAUCUGUGCUCAGCUAAAUCCAGCGAGAACAAUGGAAGAGUUUUUGGCUCUAUACAACAAAUCUUUUGGUUUUUUCCCCCCCUUUCUUUUUCAUCCACAUAAGACACCCACGAUGGCGUUUAUAUUUGUAAGAUAACUGAGUUGCAUUUUUAAGUGCCUCAUUUCUGGAUUAUCGGGCAGCUUCUGAAAGGAAGCUCCAAUUAUAGUAGACGAAGUAGAAGGUUUUUUUUUCGAUUCAAGACCUGGAACGUAGGUAGCUAGAGUCUACGCACUGCAGUUACAUACUGACAAAUUGCAAUGGCGAGUCGGCGACCGACAAGCAGAGGCCAGGCACAGCUGCGUCACAUGAACUCGCUCAUCAUGGCGAGCACCUGCGCCAUCGUGGGCCUCUCCUCCGGCGCCUCGGCGGUGCACAGCACGCCGAUCUUCACCAUCCCCAUCGUCUCCUCCCCUUCGCCGCCUUCCUCGCCGUCGGCGGCCUUGUGGUCCGUCACCACCUCCAGGAGCACCAUCCCGAAGCUGUACACGUCGGACUCCUGCGUCGCCCUCGCGCCCGCGCCCGACGCCAGCUCCGGCGCCGCGUACCCGUGCCACCCGACGCUCGCCGCUGGCGGGGCCGCCGACGACGUCGCGGUCGCCGCCCGGCCCAGGAACAGGUCCGGCGGGCACCGGGCGGCCUGCGGGACGACGGACUGCUGGAUGUUUGUGGCGUAGCGCAUGAGCCCGCACUCGGACACGCACGCGCCGCCGCGCUCGUCCAGGAGGAUGUUGGACGGCUUCACGUUCGCGUGCACAAGCGCCGGCCGCGCCGGGAACGUGUGGAUGUAGUUCAGGCCCUGCGCCGCGCCGAACAGUAUGCUCUUCCUCCCCGCCCAGUCCAGGCUCCUCGCGCCACCACCUGCAGCAACAACAACGGCCCGUCAGGAACACUCGCUUUCUUGCACCGACUGCAAAUUGGCAAUGCAUUUGGGAUUUCAUUAUCUCAUUUCAGCGCGACGACGCACCACUGGCUUGCAGAAGGGACUGGAGGCUCCCGUUGGGGAGGAAGUCGUAGACGAGGAGGCGCUCGCCGUUGGAGUUGCAGUACCCCCUGAGGCUGACGACGUGCCGGUGGCGGAGCCGGCCGACGAGCCGCAUGUGGCGGUCGAACGCCUUGCUCCGGCUGGCGGGGAACUGCAGCGCGCUCAGGCGCUUGACGGCCACCACGAUGCCGUCGUCGAGCACCGCCUUGUAGGUGCUCCCGGACACGCCCUUGCCGAGCACCUCGGCGGACGCCUUGAGGAGGCUCUCCAGCCGCAGCUCCUCGCCGCCCUCGAAGCAGACCAACCCGCCGCUCUUCUGGCACUUGUCGUCCCCGUUCGCCCUCUUCUCUUGCUCCUCGAAGGAGAGUGCCGCGUCGGAGGCGUCCUUCGCCGACCGGAGCUUCCUCCUCAUGUAGACGAACAUGGCCACGGAGAUGGCUAGCGAGACCGUGAUGAGCACUGCGUUGCCAAUGCCGGUGGCCAUGAGUGCAGUCAAGCUAAGCUUACUGAAACCUCCAUUGCUGGAACUGGAAGGCACACUACCACUAACGUUCACUGCAGCACCAGGAGAUUGAGCAGCGAUACUGGUGGUAGCAUUGGAAGAACUAUCCGAUCCUAACGCAUUAUAAGCACGAACACAUCUUGGCAGAGGCGUGCCACAGAGAGCGAGAUUGCCGCCGAAAGUCGACCUCGGGAACCUGGACAGAUCGCCGGAGAUCUCCCCAGCGAGCUUGUUCCCGGACACGUUCAAGCUCCUGAGCGACGGGGCGCGCAGCGCCUCCAGGCCUCCACGGAAGCCAUUGUGCUCCGCUCUAAGCGUGAGCAGAGCACCCAGCGAGAUGUUCAGGCUCCCGGUGAGCCGGUUGCGGGCGACGAGCAGGUGCCGCAGCCACGGGCUCGCCGUGGCGUCGUCCAGCGGGGGGAGGGCGCCGGACAGGGAGUUGUUCCUGACGGCGAGCGCCCUGAUAUGGCUGAGCCGCAGGAGCGGCGCCACCUCGCCGGCCAGCGAGGCGCCGUCGAGGAAGACCCCCACCACCCUGCCCCUGGAGCACCUGAUCCCGAACCACGUGCCGGAGCACGGGUUGGGGCCGUGCCAGGUCGCCAGGGCCGUGGCGUUCGGGUUGUAGGACUUGAAGGAGAGCAGCGCGGGCAGGUCCUGGUGGCCGCCAUUGCCGACCUCUCCGUGCACAGAAGGUACCGAUAGGUGGUAGACGAGGACGGCGAGGAGCAGGAAGGUGGAAUGGUGGAAACGAGGCAUUUUGGUAGCUGUAAGAAUUUUCUUCUGUGUUUGACCGAGAAAUCUAUCCACUCGUUUUAUAGCACGGGCCGGUAACAAUUCAGCGCGGGGAAGUAGAAAAUUUUGAAUGGCGCACGAGCACAAAGGCGUGGAACGACGACGAGCAGAGGGGUCCAAAGAGGAAAGCUGGGUACCUGCGCCGACGUCGUGGGUGGGUGUCGAUGCUGAGGUCGUGGGGAGGAGGGUGGAGGUGAAAAGCGGCGCCAUGGAGGACAGGAGGAGAGGUCCAAGGGGAUGGGGAGCUGACGAGGUGCCCUUUUUCCUCCCUUGGGCAGAAGGAACUUGGACGUAUCUGGUGGGCUGCACGUAGCCGUGAUGGUCGUCGCGCCGGGGAGAUGCUGGUGCUCGCUUCGCUUUACGGAAGCGGCCGAAAGGAAGCAAGAGGGCUCGGGGUUCCACGGCGCGUGGUGGAGUAUCGGGUUCACGAGACGAGACGGGAGUAGCGAGUGGGGACGUUGGCGUCAGGUGGCGCCACGCACCGGUAGGGGAGCAGACAGGAAUGGAUUCCAGCUUCACGUUGCACUAGUCCCCCAGAGUCACAGUGAACCCGGAACACUGAACUGGGUUCAGGUGUCGGGGCAUCUAUUGUUGGGUCCGUUCGUGCUGUGGGCCGAGCCAGGUCUUGCCACCCGAUCCAGCCCAGUAACCGGAGUAGCCAAGAUUUUGUUGGGGCGUCGGGUUCAAACUUCAAAUUGGCAGGUGGAGACGCUUCCAAACGGGUUCAUAGUGAGUCAUUGCUACUGGUACUACGGAGGACUAGGAAGGUUAAUUAUCAUUAUGAACAGUGUUAGUUAGCACCGUCGUCUGAAUGAAAGGUCAUGACAUGCUCGUGAAACCUCGAUUCUAAUGUAUGCGCGCAGUUUUUGGUAUAUCAACUCAGAACUCGACUGGUGGUGUGGUGAGCACAAAAAUGCAUCUUGUUUUUUUUUCCCACUAAGGGCUACGUCCAAAUUUCAUUACUGUUUAGGCAAUGAAAUUACAGAGUAUGAGAGUUGUCGACACCAUGGUCACACCAGAGAUUACAAAAGCAUCUCCAGGAGGACAGGUGCAGACGGCCUUUCCACCUGGGAGGAAUAAAGCGAGCCUACUUAUUACAUGACACAGAACUAACAGCAUGCUAAACAUCUCACAGCCAACCAAACUAGGAACAUUUCUCAACCAGCCUCCAAAGUUGCUUUGAGCAUCACACUGUAUCCAGACUUCCUGGCUUGAUUUGGGACAGCACUUCUUCUCUUUUUUACUGCAGCAGUACCAUCCCUGUGUCGUCGGUUGUUGCUUCACGGGGGUGAAAGUGCAACGCCGUCGCCUUCAUUGCAUCAGCGCCAGCCUCCAGGAUCGUCCUCCCCUCCGGCUUAUGAAGACCUGCUCAAUAUGAAAUGAAAACAGAUGCUGAACAUAUAAUCUCUGAAGGAGAUUUGACCUAUUUUUUAUCAAAGCAAGCAGCAUUUCUAGCUUUCCAGAGUGCCCAGCAGACCGCUGACAGCCCCACCACAUGGAUGUUUUUGUUUUGUGACAUAUACUAUCUAGUCCAUUCCCAAAAUUGGGCAAAGGUAGUUGGUCUACAUGGAGCACCAAUUACCAUGGCAAUAAGGCUCCAUACAUACCUAGCCAAGGCAUAUCCAAAGAAAAGGUGUUUCGAUGUUUUCUUCCAUAUGACAGAAACAACAGCUUUUGUCCCCCUGCCAGUUGCGUUUUAUAAGGUUGUCUUUAGUCAGAAUAGCAUCUUUUUGGAUUAACCACAUAAAGAUUUUUAUCUUCAAAGGGAUUUUGGCUUUCCAAAUAUUGUCAUGAGGACUGGGUAUAGACUACCGCCUCAUCAUCGACACAUCGAACAACGAUGGCAAGGAUGCCAAGUACGAGGCGGUGGUUCAUGAGAAAAACUGGGGAGACCAAAUCACUCUCUUGUCCUUUAAGCGAGCAGACUCUCAGCAACAAUUGGCAUGAGCAUGUUAAUCACUCUCUUGUCCUUUAAGGAUGCCAAUGAUUUGUAGUAGGGUUGCCACCUUGAUUAAUGCUUAUCACUACUUGCUCUACAACUAUUGCAUUUUGUGUUUACUCCAUUUAGCGUCCUUUCGUUACGCCUUGCUUAAUGCUUAUCACUACUUGCUCUACAACUGCUGCAUUUUGUGUUUACUCCAUUUAGCGUCCUUUUGUUAAUCGUUGAAAUGGCGUGGUAGCUGCUGCGUAAUGCGUAUCAUGUAAUUUGGCAUCUCCAAUAUAAAUGGGAUUUUCAGCCUAAAUAAAAUGUGAUUGGGAAAUUUGGCUUCCCACUUUUGUACAUGAUGCAAACGGUCAUAUACAUGCACACACAAUUACAAAUACACGCACGCUAGUUCGAUCUUCAAGUUUAAUAUAGUUUCAGCUGUUCAAACAUUGGAUUGAACAUGACCGAUCCAUUUGAAAGUAGAUUGCUUUCAAACACAAAACGUGGAUUGCGUUAAAUAUUUUUAUUAGACAUAUUAGGAAUGUAAAAGUCAAAUUUAUAAUAAUUUAACCAAACAUUAGUCAAAUUCUAUAAAUCCUCAGUAUAAAAGUUAUAUGGAUGAAUUCAAAUAUGAAAUAUCUUACUUCUAUACAUCUAAUAGUAUAUUGUAAUAGAAACUAUAUCAGUCAAUAUAUAUCUAUAAAUAUUUUCAAAUCAUCAUGUGCCUACUAAAAACAAACAAAGUUAAUGUUAUGGUUGUGAUUUUAUUGCUACAAAUAUUACUAGUAUUAUAAGAGCAUCUGCAGCAGUCUCCCAAUAAAUAUUUCCCAAUAACUAGUUAAUAGGGAUAUUCCAAUAUCACUUUCAUCGUUAUUGGGAGAGUUGCUUUUGCAGUCUCCCAAUAAUUUCAUCCCAAUCCAACUACCGUAUUGAGAGAGUUACAACUCCUUUAUUUAGGGAGAGUUGGGAUGAAUUAUUGGGUUGUCCCAAUAAUUAUUGGGAAAAGGGAAAGUUAAAGGAAGACUGUUGGAACACUAUUUUCUUAUCAACUCUCUCAAUAUGAUAGUUGGAUUGAGGAAAGGGAGAUUGCUAAAGAUGCUCUAAUAAGCUAUGUAUUCAAAACAAAGUGGUCAUGCGGGUAUUAGAGUUGUGAUCCGAAAUAACGGCAGGAAAAUUCUGUUAUCUGCAUGGCGAGUCAUUUUUUAUGCAGUGAGCGUACAGGAAGUGGAGGCAUUGGCAUGCAAAGAAGGGUGGCCCUUGAAGGGAGCCCGCGAUCUUAGAGUUAGACUGCAGUGCGGUCAUUCACUAAAUCAAGGAAGCGAGUAAGAUGAUACUAGCUAGCAUAAUUUUUCACGGUCUAGAAGGCUAAGCGCCUAGCGGAAAGUCUCCCAUGUCUCGUUUUGAGUCAUGUAAAGAGAUAGCAGAACGUAGUCGCACAUGAGCUUGCGAAGCAAAUCGCAAUGUAGUGUGGUGUGAUCAUCCCCCACUUAUAUGAGCAUUUGAUUGCUCAUGCCUGUAAAUUUUUUUUUGAGCAAUCAAUAAAGCGCUCUCUCUUUUUUAAAAAAAAAUUUGCAAAGAAAGAGACUACGAAUCAAAGUUGGAGAAUGUGACGAGUCAAAGCAUAUUGUGAAAUGGAGGCAGCAAAAUCCUAACGCUUCCUGUCGCAUCGACGUUCGAGCUCUGUGUACUUAAUUGAUUGCCACGUAGAAGCCGAAGAGUGCAGCGUCGAUUCAACUGGCGCGCGUCUAGACCCUAUAAAAGGACGGGGUUUCCAAGGCAGCACUGCACCGAUGCUUGCUCUGCACCAGCAAAGGCAGUCAAACUAACAGUACGCCGGGCACCGGAAGAUCGAUCGACCAGGCAUGUCGCCGCCGCCGGAGCAGGACAGGAGGCUUGGCGUCGUCAAGCCGGAGCCCGAUCCCAUGAUCAAGCUCAAGGUGCUGGACAACGAGGGUCGCAGGGUCUUCCACUCCAUGAGGAUGUCCGACAAGCUCCAGGCGGUCAUGGAUGCGUACUACGCGAAGGCGCCCGACGUGACCUACGGCUCCGGGACCUUCAUGUUCGAUGGAUCCAUCCGGCUGCGGGGCAGCGAGACGCCGGCGGAGCACGGUCUGCAAGAUGACGACGUGAUCGACUCCUACGAGGACCUGGUGGGCGGCGGACGGGACGACGCCUGAUGCACCGGACCGGCGGCUGAUCGAUCGAUGGCCGCGCGAGUACGUCGUAGCAGUCGUUUAAUGGAUGUCGUUAUAUUAUCAUUCGCCAGUCAUCACUAGUCUCCAAUUAUUACAAAGACGUAUCAUCUACUAGGAUUCAUCUUUCUACUAUACAUGCAAGGUGGAUCCAAUAUGUUCUCUUGAAACUUUGUUAUUGAUGCAUCUUCACAGUUUACCUGCUGAAUUCAACUGUCAAAACUUUUCUAAGGCCCCGUUUGGAUCAUUGGAAUUGAAUUCCAUCCUAAUAAUCAUAAUUUAGACACAAAUUAAUUAAACUAAUAUAAUUGUAUGUGGAAUAUAGUUGUAUAUUAUAGUUGGUGAUAUGGGAGAGAUACUUGUAUGCUGCACUUCUACUAUAGAGAAGCGAGUCUAAGAGCGUGCUAUAAGAAUUGAAUUCCAUUCUAAUAACCAUAAUCUAUAGAAUCAAUUUCCAUCUCCCACCCCAUGAAUUUAAAAUAGGCUUAUAUCUAAACUUUGGAAAGUUGUGGAAUGCCACAUUCCAACAUAAAUUAGCCUACUCCAUUAAAUAGAUUCCAAUUCCUUGGACCCAAACGGGGCCUAAGCGAAAUGAAGCGUUCGUGGUAUAGCACUUGGAUCAUCCACGGCCCGAUGAUCGAUUGCCCAGGCGGCUGAGAUCUCUUUAGUCGUCUAGAGCUCACGGGGGAAUUCCGAAGAUGCGUUCGGGGCAUUCGAUAGCUUAGCCGCGUCCUGGUACGUCAUGAUUCAUGAACAGUUUGAUCUGGUAAAUUAUGAUUUCAUUGAAGACAUUGCCGUUCCAUUUUCUAUUGAUGAAUUUUUUUAUUAAUCUUCUCGUAAAAAGUUUUUGACGAGGCACUUUAUGCGAUCCAUUGCUUACGAUAUACAUCAAGUUCAACAAAGUGGUUUGGCCUUUUUUUUAGAUAUGCAAAAUAUAAAUCUAUUGAUGCAACUUUGAGACAUGAAAACAUAUAAUUUGACUACUCUUGGAGUAAAACCUACAAAUUAAAGUAUUGACUAUUUGAUACACCCUACGUAAAGAAACAGAGUAAGCAAUGCACGUCAAGCAGACAAAUGAUACGAUCAAGUUCAACAAAUUAAAGUGGUUAGUGGUGAGAAGCAGAUUUUGGUAGGCAUAUACUUCCGUCUCAUCAUCGAUGCGUCGAACAACAAUGGCACGGAUGGCAAGUAUGAGGCGGUGGUGCACGAGAUGGAUUGGGGAGAAAAACUCUCCCUUGAGUCCUUUUAAGUCGGCUAAUUGAUCUACAAUUAGAAUGACCGUCUUAAUGCAAUUAUCCUAAAUAAUGAUGUCAAGGUGUAUUUUCAUGCCUUUGGAUUUUUUUAUGGUUAUAUACAAUUGUCUCAGGAAGCUUGUGCCUCAAGCAUGUCUCUCUCCUAGGAGUAGAUCACUGCCUCACUGGAGACCACAAGAUCAUAGAGCUUCCGACUAAAGUGAGCAGUUUCUUCGAGCUUCUGAGUUCACCAGAAAGAGCGAGGUUGCUACUAAAGGGAGCAGUUUCUUCGAGCUUCUGACUAAAUCGAUCCAAAAUUAUGUCAAACAAUUUCCACUAAAUUACAAGAUAACUAUAUAUUGCAGGAGCUGAUGUGAUAUGAAUCCACUAAAUCACUUCCAAGUUGUAUUUGAACAAACUGUCCAUCGGUUUCCAUCCAUUUCGCCGGAAUACAAGCUCUUAUUAGUAAGGGCUGCAUGCAAGGACUGUCUUAAUUUUUUGCUGUAAGGUAAAACUAGUUGUCAAUUAAUUUCAGGCCAAUCAUUUUCUACUAAAAAUUGCAAGAUACUACUUAAUUUGACACAUCCAAUUAAUAUUUUCCAAAUUGUAUCGAACACCCUGUCCAUCAGCCAUUUGUUGGCAACGUCACGAGGCUAAGUGCUAUUAAAUGCCUCAGUCGUGUCUCCAAUCUUCAGCAAAAACUAUGAACCUGCCAAUCUUGUUAGUACUUCAAUAGACUUCCUCGAUUCUAAAUUAUAGUUCACUUUAGCGUUGUUCUAAACCAAACUAUUCUCUCUGACUAAAUGUAUAGAAAAAUAGAACAAUAUCUACUAUCAGCAUAUUUCUUAGCAGAUUCAAUGAAACUAUAAUUUGACGUUAUAGAUCUUAAUGCCUUUUUUAUGAACUUGAUCAAAGUUAAAGAGAUUUGACUCAGAACAAUACUCGUAUAUACUACUUACAUUUUAAAAGAAGUAUAAAAUAAAGUAGUUAUUGUAAUGAAUGUAAAAUAAGCUUAGAAGAAACCUCAAUGACCAAAUUGGGACUGCAGAAAGUACUUUCUCCACCCUAUUACUGGCUCCGCACGCACAAGAGAAACAAAAGCACGAGCUUGUGGCCAUUAUUCAAACAAUAAAAUUAGCACUAGUCACUUGGAGAGAAACCGGCAAAACAUCCAGAAAUAUACCACACAUAGGGGUGGUAAUGGAUCAUGCCUCCUUCACAAUCCAACUCAACCCUAUUUAUUUUUAGUUCAAAAUCAUAUAUUAUUAUAGCCCGAUACAUAUUGAGCAUGAUCCUUAAAUUUGCUAAGUUAAAUUAGAGGGCCCUUUACCACACCUAACCACGCCACAAGAACAAAAUUCAACAAGCUGUUGGUAACUCGGUACUCUACCGGUUGGAUACAAAACAAUAUUAAAAACUGCUGCUACUAAUAUUCUCUUAAUGAAAUACAUGCACGUUUAUAAAAAAAAUGACUCACAUGACCCUCCUAAACCUAGAGAACAGACUCGAUUGAAACUAAUCGGGAACCUAAUAAUAGUGAGCACAGUCACUGGCAUGUAAAUAAACUAAGUAGAGCUGUAUAUCUAGAUAUUGAGGUAGUUCUUGAUGGACUCCUCGAACUCCUUGACGACGGCUUUCCAUCCGGCAUGGGUCGGGUUGAUGUCGUCCCAGUAGAAGAACUUGUCCGGCUUGGACCCCAGGCUGUACUGCGGCUCACCGUCCUGCACCUGCCCGCAGAACCCGCUCCGGUCGAAGCUCUCGCAGCACGACUCCAGCCUGUACUUGAACUGCUUCGAUCGCGGCGACGGGCCCGCGUAGUGGCUGAAUGCGGCUUUCAGGUCGAGGUUGAAGACGGCCUCGUCCUGGAACACCUUCUCCUCGAGGUACGAGUUGUGGAUGCUCGCCACCUUCUGGCUGUCGCACUUGGCAUCGUAGACGCCGUCCUCGGACCUCGACAGCCACGGCGUGCACCCGAGCGGGGGCAGCGAGGUCACCACCACCUUCUCGACGCCCAGGUCCAUCAGCUGGUCCACGGCGUCGGCGAUCUUGUCCGUCACCUCCUGGGCCUUGGCCUUCACCUCCGUGCUGGUCAUGUCGUUGAAGCGCUCGUAGUCGCGCCUGCCGGAGAAGGCGAUGAGCGCGACGGAGUCCGUGAGGUCCUCGUCGAUGAUGCCGAGCCUGACCAGCCUCUUGAACUUGUCCACCUGCCUGCCGAGCCUGGGCGCGUCGCUCGUCCCCUCCACCACGCCGGCGCCGCCGACGGCGAAGUUCAUGCCGGACGGAUCGACGCCGUCCUGCUUCCUCUUACUCUCCGCCGGAGGGGACUCCUUCCGCCCCAGAAUCCUCGCUGCACAAAUUAUGUAUUGAUGAGACAGGGCCAGGAUUUAGAAUAUUAAGUACUGAUCCGAGCUUAUUAUUACGUACCGAAGAAAUCAGAGAGGACCAAGCCGUUGGAGAAGCGGCCGCUUGGAGUGGCGCCGUGCUCCUUGUCGUUGCUGCCGUACGGGUAGUACCAUGCGCGCGUCGUCUUGGUCAGGUCUGCUAGCGGGAAGUUGCCGGCGUCGGCGAACUCGUCGCCGAACACGAACAGCUUAUACCGCCGGCCCGAGUCGCUGUCGCGAUGGCGUCGGGACUCCACAUGAGCAGCUGCUAACAACAACGUUAAUUAAAGCUCCGAUCCGAGAGCAGAACAAUGCACGACAGCAAGUAAACCACCUGGAGAAAUUAGCAAGAACAAGCAGAACAACACAUACCGUUCAGCAGGAGUAGGAGGCCGCAGACGGCGGCGAAAAGAAGCUUCAUGCUGGCUGGUUCCUUGGAUUUCGAUCGAAGGCGAGUUGCGCGGGGCGCGGGUGUUGAGGUGAGUCAAUUGCUGAGUCGUGGUGCCAGGACGACGGCGAGCGUCGCAAUUUAUACACGGGAGAUCGAGUUCCGAGUCCUACUGGGGGUGGGGGAGGCGCGCUUGUUUGCCCAGUCCGCCGCCGACUGUAACUCGUUUCCAAGCCUAGCUGGUACACUGACGAACAACAAGUCAGAAAGCCGACGAUUCCUGCUCGGAGUUGGCGGGUUGGCGGGCCUUUUCUCUCUAGGAUCUCACCAGGCCUCAAAAUACCCGGGCCAGUACAGCAGAAGAGGCCCAUCGCUACCACCCCAAUACAUGCAUACGACCAGCGUUCACUAAUGGGCCCCAUCCCUGUCUGCACGGACGACGAUAGAAGUUGGCCCGAAAUCAACACGGCUGGGCCUGGGCUGUGCAUCACAGAACCCUUUUUUUCUUUGGCGACGAACAAAACCCCUCGCCACUACUACUUAGCCACGCAUGAUGAUGAUGAAUUUACGUUUGAUGAUUGCUUGUUGAUCAAUCAGUCGAUCGAUCGAUCUGCGGAGUACUCUGACGGAAGGAAAGCUAACCCUCUCCGCCGGCGCCGGCGCCACCGCAAUGUGGUUCACCUCCCGUCGCAAACCCAACGCCGCCGAACCUUCCGAGGAUGCACCGUCGUCCUCCUCGCCACGCAGCUCGCAACCCCGCGGCUACUCCCUCCGCAUCUCAUCCUCCAACCCCUGCCCCCAAACCCAGAGCUCCCGCGACGGAGCCCUAGCCUCCGCCACCUCCUCCUCCGCCGCCGCCUGCGACCUCGGCGGCGGAUGGGGGAACUCCGUAGGCCGCGGCGGCGGCGGCUUCCUGUGGUGGAUCUUCUCCGCCGGAGCGGCGCGCGCGGACGAGGGGAAGCCGGCGGGGGCCGACUGGGACGCGCACGGGCUCCCGGUCACGCGCACACCGGUGCCGCUCUCCAGGCUCGACGGGAGGAAGCGGUACAAGGUCUCCGAGCUCAACUUCCUUGACUGCCGCGCCCGGGACCGCGCCAGCGCCCGGGACCGCGCCAGCGCCGCGGAGAAGAACCCCUUGUUCGACGACAUGGCCAAGCUGCGCCCCGGCGGCGUGUACACCCGGUCGCAGCUGCUCGGGCAGCUCCAGGCGAUGACCUCCUCCGGCAUGUUCGAGCAGGUCAGCCUCCAAGGGAAGCCCAAGCCGGACGGCACGCUCGCGCUCACCGUCACCUACGCCGAGAACAUCUGGCCUGGAGCCACCAAACGGCUCAAGUGCGUCAACGUUGGACUCAUGGCGCCGCCCGACGCUGGCCCUGCUGAGGACAUGACGGCGAGGGAGAAGAUGGAUUACAUCCGGAGGCAGGACCAUGACUACCGGCAGCGAAUCCGCAGCGCCAAGCGGUGCAUUCUACCGGAGUCUGUGCGCGAGGAGGUGCUGGGGAUGGUGAAGAAGCAGGGGAAGUUGACCGCCGGGGUGCUGCAAAGGAUGAGGGACCGCGUCGAGAAGUGGUACCACGACGAGGGCUUUGUGUUCGCCCUGGUGCAGAACUUCGGGAACCUCGACACCGACGAGGUUGUGUUGGAGGUGGUAGAGGGGGACAUCACCAUGGUGGAGUACCAGUUUCAGGACAAGCUUGACAAUAUCGUCGAGGGGAACACUCACAUCGCUGUCGUUGACCGGGAGCUGCCCCAGCAGGUAUGUAUAUAUAUAUAGGCAAUUUUCCUUACUACAUCAACAUCAGUUCCAUGGUUAAUUAACAUGUUCUGUUCGAGAUGUCUAUGGAUGAAUUGUUGUUUAAUGUGCCACGAGUUGAUUGGUUCGAUGUAUUCUAUUACGAUUCUCAAACACAUUUACUCUGACCUGAUAUGCUUUCUUGCAACCAUGUAAUUUACCUUCUGCCUUUCUUACACUGUGCAGCUUCGACCUGGCCAUAUCUAUAACAUUGGGGCAGGGAAACAAGCUCUGAAGCAUAUCAAUUCACUCGCUUUAUUCUCCAAUAUAGAAGUGAACCCUCGCCCUGACGAGACAAAAGAAGGGGGUGUAGUGGUUGAAAUAAAACUCAAGGAACAUGAACCAAAGUCGGCCGAAGUAACUACAGAGUGGAGCAUUGUACCUGUGCAUCAAGGGAGACCAACUCUUGUAAGGCACCACUUAUUUGUAACCUUUUUUCCUUCUUCUCUGCAGAAUCUGUACCUUGAAUGAUAGAAAACAUCAUAAAUAUAUAACCGCCAAUCAUUAUAAAUCCAUGUUUCACAACCCAUCUCACGGAAACUUUCUUUUUAGGCAUCAAUUCAACCUGGAGGAACUGUGUCAUUUGAGCACCGCAACAUCUCUGGUUUAAACAGAUCUCUUGUCGGUUCUGUUACUUCCAGCAACCUGCUCAAUCCUCAGGUGAGUUGGUACUGAGUUCUUUUAUUGAAAACAGAAGCUUUGAUGCAAUGUUGCUUUGGUUUACAAUUACAUCUACAUUCGCUCUGAUCUGCUUGUACUAAAUUAGCUGAAUUGUCACUUAUAACCGUCUCAGUCUUCCUUUGUAACUAUAUGUUUCGAGUCAUAUUUCAAUUAUCAUUAUUACAUGAAGUGUGGAACUCAGUUGAGUGUCUUCUGCAUUGAAAUGUGAAACAUUGCAGACUUUAAUUGCCAUUCUGCUGCAAUCUGAAAUAAGUAAAUAAAAUUAUACCCUUGUUUCAUGAUUUAAAAACAUUUAGUUUAUAAAAUGUACUGGUAUGGUUUACAAGGCAUAUGUUUCAUUUUUAACUGAUCCGUUAUAUUUGUAUUUACGGCAUGUUUCUUUUGGGAUAUCAGGAUCAUCUCUCAUUCAAGCUUGAGUAUGCCCAUCCUUAUUUGGAUGGUGUGGACGACCGUAGUAGAAACCGCACCUUCAAAGCUAGCUGCUUCAACGUCAGGAAAUUAAGUCCUGUCUUUGUUGCUGGCCCCAACAUGGAUGACGCUCCACCUAUCUGGGUUGAUAGAGUUGGAAUUAAAGCCACUAUAACAGAGGUUUGCACAGAUUGAUAUUACCUUCUUCAUCUUUUGAUUUUCAUAAAUAUCUACUCCCAAGAUAUAUUUUUAACAUGAGGAAACUGCAUUUGGAAAUUUUUUCAGAGCUUUACAAGGCAGAGCAAAUUCACUUAUGGCCUCGUGUUGGAAGAGAUUAAAACACGCGAUGAAGAUAACAACAUAUGCACACAUGGUUCUCGAGUAUUGCCUAUUGGUGCAUUGAACAUGGAUGGACCUCCCACAACCUUCAGUGGUACCGGUGUAGAUCGAAUGGCAUUUCUACAAGCUAAUAUAACUCGAGACAAUACUGAGUUUGUAAACGGGGCAACUAUUGGUGACAGAUGUAUAUUCCAGGUGGGGUGUUUUGUUCUCAGUGAAUUUUCAAUUGUUGCUGGGUGUUUAAAACCAAAUUGACUGCACUGUGCCAAAAGGAGAAAGCCAGCUCCUUACACAACUGAUGUUUCUGUUUUCGUAUGAGGCUGCUGCACAAUGCAUAAUGCUGACUGUUUAGGCACAUUUUAGCAAAUGUUAUCAUUACAAUUUUUUUAGAAUCAAGGUAUUCUUGUUUAUGUUAUAAUUGCUUUUCAGUUAUAUUUUAAAUAUCUGGGUUAGUUCUUGUUUAACAGCAUCAUGUGUUUAUAGAAAGUUCUCCAUGGUAAAGUAAAUCCACUUAUAAUUUUCUUGUGGGCCGCAGUUGGACCAAGGUCUUGGCAUUGGAAGCAAAAAUCCAUUCUUCAACCGUCAUCAGCUUUCAGCGACAAAGUUCAUUAAUUUGAAUAAGCAAGAUAAAGGUGCUGGCAAGCCACCACCAGCAAUUUUGGCGAUUCAUGGUCGCUACGCAGGCUGUGUAGGAGAUCUGCCGAGCUAUGAUGCAUUUGCAAUCGGAGGACCUCACUCUGUUAGGGGCUAUGGCAUGGGAGAACUGGGUGCUUCCAGGAAUCUUCUUGAGGUGAGCAUCAAACUAUCGAUCCUCAGGGGGAUUUGGCACUUACUCUGAAUCAUGAUGCAUAGUUGUUAUCGCUGUUCAUGUCGUAGUCGUGGAGGUUUUGCUUUUCUUCGGAUUUGUUUUGAAUCUUAUAUCCAUGCAGUUUGCCACUGAGUUGCGUGUCCCCAUCACUGUGAAGAACAAACAAACGCAGGUGUAUGUAUUUGCUGAGCAUGGCACUGACCUCGGGAGUUCCAAGGACGUGAAGGGCAACCCUACAGAGUUCUUCCGACGCGCAGGCUCUGGGUCCUCCUAUGGCAUUGGUGUCAAGCUCGGCACGGUAAGGGCGGAGUACGCUGUAGAUCACAAUGCUGGUACGGGAGCCUUCUUCCUGAGAUUUGGCGAAAGAUUCUGAAGGCCGCGUCUCUGUCCAGCUUGACGAUCAGAAAGCCCUAUGUAAAUUCGACUGCCAACUUUCUAGAAUAAAAUUAACUCGUGAAGAUAUAACGUCACUGAAUCUUGUAGCAGCAAGGCCCGCGUUAUGAAUGGUUGAGAGUAAAGUCAGAUUCAACUGGAAUAAGAGUUUCGUUUUGAUGGAAGGAUGUCAUUGUACUCUCUUCCUCCGUGGAACUGUACUAGAUGGUAGUCUCGGAGUAUUAUCUUGAACUUGGUAACUAAACCUAUUGAGUGUUAGGAGGAUAAAACUCUUCUCUCAAACUAGAACUUGUGCAUUCACGAUGCAUCCGACAGCUUGCAUCUGUCAGGUGCACGAGAGCACCAGAUGUACUCGGAGCACCCGAUCUUCUCUUACAUCAUUUUUUAAUCUAAAUUGCACAAAUUUGAUAAAUUUGGGCUUUGGGUGAUUUCGAAAUUGCUAUCGCAUUUUCUAGAAUUUAAAAAGUUAUGAUUUAAUCAAAAAUUCAUAACUAACUUAUUUCAAAUCUAAAAAAUAUGAAGUUGGUACAAAAUUUUUCUAAAAAUGUAGGCUAUUUGUUCAUACUCUAUUUGAAAUUGUUUACAUCAUAUUUGUUACUAAACCUAGUGUUAUAUUGUUUUUAAUAAAACACAAGGAACAUGAACAAUCUAGUUUUAAAUAAUGCUAAAUAGUACACCAACAGAUAGUUUACAUUUUUAGAAAAAUUUUGGCACCAAUUUAAUAUUUUUCUGAUUUGAAAUGAAUUAGUUAUGAACUUUUUAAUUAGAUCUAAACUUUUUAAAUUUCUAAAAAAUUGCAAACCACUCCUAAAACUAUCCAAAUGGCUAAAUUUAUCCGGUUUUGACAUAUGAAUGGCCCUCCGUGUCCAGUUUUGUAGUUGUCAGUAUAGACAUGUGUCACAUCACUUUAUUAAUGAAGUAAAAAUUCCUACAAAACCUUCGCUGCAAAUGGCCUUACCGCCUCCCGAUUAUCACCGUUUGUUGUUACCUUUUUCUUUUCCAUUGCUAUGUUUGUCCUCCUCGCCUUUGUGCUCCCCACGUUAGGUGAAUUUUCAAACCUUUAAGGCUAAGAUUGGGAGCCCUUUGUUUUCUCAUUUUUUUAAAACAAAAGAAGAAGAAAAUGAAAAGCGGCUUUACCUGCACAACUGCAGUUUUGGCUAGAAUUUACUCCUAUGUCGAGUAAUUGCUCAUGUAGUGUCGCGGCAUCUUCCAUCGCUUCGACUCCUAUGCAUUAACGCAUGGGAACGCAGCAAUCGGAAAGUUCAGUCUUGAGUGCGGCUGCCUUGGACGGUGCAGGGUGGAGAGCGGGGAGGCUUUGCAUGCAUGGAGUUAAUUAUUAAUGGGCUAAUGGCCGCCUAACCUUCUCCGUUCUGCUUGUGAUAAAACUGAAUCGGCGGCGCAUGCCGGACACCCGUUAUAUAGACCAAACAUGCUUAUGACUAAAAUAAGCUGAAGCUGAAACUAGUAGCCAAACGGUAUACUUUUUUCAGCUUCUUCUGUCUGCGCUUCUCUCCACAGGUUCCAUUUGUUUUCCUAUAUUAGUACAGUUUAUUUGAGAAGCAGCUCCCGCAGCAGUACCGUCGUAACCACACGCCCGGCGGAAAGCCUGGGAAAGCAUAGUACCAGCAAAGGAGUCGCCGGAGCCGCCCGCGAUGACGAAGUACGUCACGCUCUCCGUCCGGGACGAAGAGUACCGCGAGAUCACCCGCACCAUGCGCACGACCGACAAGCUGCACACCCUCAUCGAUUUCUACUACGACAUGGUGCCCGCCGUCGCGUACGGCGAGGGGGCCUUCCUGCACCGCGGCGAGCCGGUCGACAGGAUGAAGACGCCGGCGGACUACGGGAUGCGCGAUAGGGACGAGCUCGCCUUCUCGUCGCAGAUCGACUCGAGCACGUUCCUCACGCUGACCGUGCGGGAAGAGGAAGGGCUCGGGUCCUUCUCCCUCACCUUGCGAACGACCGACCAGCUGCGGGACCUGAUGGACUUCUGCUACGAGAUGGUGCCCACCGUCGACUACGGCGACGGGGUCUUCCUGUUCAACGGCAGGCGGGUUAAAGGCCACCGGACUCCGGAGGAGCUCGGUAUGGUGGAUGGCGAUUGGAUCGGUGUUACUUUCAGAGUUCGUUACUGAACGUCGUCGGGCUGCUUCCGCUGAACCGGCACCGCCCGUAUGUUGCUGCACUUUUCGUUGUGUAAGCAGCUGCUACUUGCGUGCAUCUAAAUUUCACGCAUCUUUUGUUCCAAAAUUUAUCGAUAUCCAUGAAUCGAUCCCUCUCACUCAUCUCACCGUGCUUAUGAUGUACUGAAAUAUGUCAUGGUUACCUAUUCUAGAGUAUCGAGUUUAAAGCCAAAAAAUAUGUAGUAUGUCAAUGUGACUUGAAGUGACAUGAUUCAACACUUUACACAAAAGCAUGGUCGUGCAACUUGAUUGAAUUGAUUCACAUUUUGUGAACAAAAACUAAUUCAACAAUUUCAAUGACCUGAUCUAGCGUUUUGUUAAACUAAUCGAUUCAACAUUUUAUAUCAAACUGUUUAGAAUGUUGAACUAGCGCGCUCAAACUUCUGAACUUCCUACGAUCGGAUCGGCCCAACCACAGCCCUAAACGGUCCGGCCCAGGGCGGCCUCGGUCGGUUGCCCUCUCGCCCAGCACGGGACCAUACCCGGUGCAGCGAAUAGGGUAUCCUCCCGCCGCCGCACUCUCUUCGUCCCGGAUCGAUCCCCAUUCCAUUCCCCACCCGGCUCCAGCACGGAACUUUCCUCUCUCUAGGGUUCCCCCCCUAUCCCCCUCGAGUCUCGACCGUACCAGGUAAAUUACAGGUCCACCCGUCCCGCGUUCGGUCCGAUCCCGUGAUUCGAGCCUUCGCGCAUCGAUCCGGGACUCUUCCGCCCGCAAAUUUCCCCGCGGCGGAGUUUCGCGGCCUCUUUGUAUUUGGGCCAUUCGAGUUGAUUAUUUUGGAGGAUUGAGUGUGCGUUGUUAGAUUUUUUGUGCGACGACUGCGGUGUGUUAAUUGGAGGUUGAAAGAAUUGUAGCUGUUUUGAGGCGGCAAGCGAGUGCUGCAGAAGCAUCACAUCUGCGCCGAGGCAUGGAUAAGGAGCUCUUCGCCAACGACGGCUCCUUCAUGGAGAGGUUCAAGCAGAUGCAGCAGGAGAUGCAGGAGAAGGAGAAGGCCGCUGCUACUGAAGCCUCAUCGGCUCCCAAGCACGGGAGCUCCAAGCCGGGGUUUGCUGUUGCGGCGAACAAGAGGCCGUUCGAGCUGAAGAAGGCUGGUCCAGUCGCCACGGGCGGGAAGCUGGCCUUUAGCCUGAAGAAGGCCAAGGUCGCGGUCGCCCCUAUUUUUGCGGCCGACGAAGAGGAAGAGGAUGUGGAGAGGGAGGAGCCUGCCAAGCGCCACAAGUCUGUGCAAGCUGAUGCUCCUGUGGCAGCUACCCCGGCAGGGGCUGUUGGUAAUCAUUUAUUUAUUAAUUCAUUCAUUCAUUUAUUGCUGUUAUAAUAUAAAAAAUUAUUAGUGGUUUCCCAUUCUUUGGAUUUUUUGUUGGCGUUCUGUGGGUGUAGUUGCUAUCAAAUGAUAAGAUAGAAAUAUGCGACAAGAAUUUUAAUUCAAUAAUUGUCCUAGAACAUCAGCUAUAUAUUGCCUCUUAUCUUUUUUGCUUUUGAAUUCAUUCCCCAUAUAUGUGACAUAUCAUAGGUUUUACUCUUGAGAUGACUUCUAAUUUGGUAUCCCAUACCCCAAUUAAUACCACCGACACAUAUGGUUAUAUUGUCAUUUUUUAAUACAUUUUUCUGUUCCAUGCAUUUGAGGGUGUUAUCCUGAGUCCUGACAGUAUUGCAUUCAUAUUGAUAGUGAAACGAACUAACUAGAUACUUUUUAUUUCAUUUGUCACAUACUGAUUUAACUAGAAAGUAGCACUGCGUUGCAUAUGCAUUUUUAGUGAAAUUAUUACUUGUAGGACUGCUUGGAUGUCAAGUAUAUUUUGGUUUCGUAUGGUUUCUAUAAUAUGUCAUAGCAUAAAAACUUUUAGGUGUUGGUAUACAACUAACAGUGUACAAAUGUAGUAUUCCAACCACCAUGUUAUUUUGGAGUUUAUGAAGGAAACCCAUUAAACACCUCUUUUUCCUAAAAAGUAAACACGAGGCAUGCUACGAUUUCCCUUUCUCACCACAUGCGAAGUAUUUAGCAUUCCUGUCUAAUUUCAUGCAGUACUAUCAGUAAACACAUUCCUAAUGUGACUAAUCUGAAUUGCAUACAUUCAUUUUGGAUUGUUCACAGUAUUACUUUAGCCUUUUUUUAUCUCCAUAUAUAUAAAGUAUUGUUAUAAUUAGCCUACCCCAACUUGCUUGGAACUGAAAGGCUAUGUUGUUGUUGUUGUUAUUGUUAUAAUCAAAGCUAACUGCAUUCAAAUAGGCAAAUAGUAUGUAUGUAUGUAUCAUGCUUUAUUUAGUUUUCCUCUGUUGGAUAGUUCUUCUAUAUACUGUAGAAAAUGGUGGUUUUCACAAUUUAUGUUGUUUCAGUUCCCAUGUAUUAAAAAUAUGGUUUUCAAAAACUCUGCUUUGAAAUGUUCCUGACAUCAAAACACAUCCUUAUAGUAUUGAUUUCAUGCAUUUACAAAUGAUAAAAAUGGAUCUAGAAAGCAACAAAUUGCAAUGCACAUUGGUGUUGGAAUCGACCAUCUAACAGUGUUUAAUAAUUUUUUAAAACUAUCCAAGAAAAUUGCUUGCUGUUGCACAACGUGAUUUAAACCCUCCGUUUAUGCUUGGCUCAUACGUUGUUAGGUUUACAAAAGAAACAUCUUUCUCAGUGUUUGGGUUCAUUAUAAGUCAGGCAGCAGAAAGUCGUGAAGGUUUUGUUUUUUUUUUCCGAUAACUGCAGCUUAUAGAUGAACUGUAUUGGCAUUGCCAGGAAGGAUAUGAUUGAAAGAGUUGGAGACUCUACUGCAGUAAUUUGCAUUGCCUUGUCAAUAUGCUUGAUAUUAAUAGUUCUUUAAGUGACAUGCAGCCCCACCCCCACCAAAUGAUAUGACAGUGAAGCAAGUUGCUGACAAAUUGGCAAGUUUUGUUGCAAAAAAUGGGAGACAAUUUGAGAAUAUCACACGGCAGAGGAAUCCUGGAGAUACACCAUUCAAGUACGACUGCACUACUUAUUUUUCUGAUAAACUCUGUUUUACUUUUAAAUUCUAAAAUCUGACUUUAAUAAAUUAUUGAUAUAAAUCUUGGGUUAUUUGCAGAUUUCUAUUUGACAAACACUGUCCAGACUACAAAUAUUAUGAGUUUCAGCUUGCUGAAGAGGAAAAGGCUCUUGGUCAGUCAAAGGAUGCUGAAGCAUCAAAAAAUGGUUUGUGGCACAAUUUUUUUAAUCAUUUUCUAUAUCUAAAAGUUCUAUAAAAGUCUUGAUGCUAUAUACUCUUGUUAAUGUAGCUAGUUCUAGCACUGCAAGCUUCAAAGCACCAAGUGGUCCGUAUAAAAGCUCAUUUGAACAAAAGUCCAACUAUCAGACACCUGCAUCAGCUUUGUAUGGGGCAUAUGAGGGUAGUUCUUCCCAAGGAAGCUCAUCUAGUUAUGGUAAAAUAUACAUACAUGGUUUCCUUUAUCAAAUGUUAUAUAUCUACAUUCUCUAUGUUCCUGGACUGUUCGCCUGUUUACAUUUGUUUGAGUUUGCAUUUUGCAAGUCAUCCAAAUCAGGCACUUCUAUUGCCUUAGUAUCUUAUUGUUAUUUCUGAUGUCUUGAAUAUUAUGUUUCAUCCUUGUAGCUUCAAUGAAUAGAUAUAUUGUAGGGUUUCUGUUGUGAACCAUUAAAACCCUACUGCCUGUCAUCUCCCUGAUCUAUAGUUUGCUUUAGGAGUAAAAACCAUUGCUUCCUAUCUUGAACUGUUUCUUGUUAUUAUAUGUGCUUAAUGCUAGUUCAUCAUUUUGCAGGUGAUCACAAUACAUCUGCACCGUCAGAUCCUGUAGCUUUGAUGGAAUUCUAUGCGAAGAAGGCUGCACAGGAAGAACGGAAGAGGCCACUAAGACAGUCAAAAGAUGAAAUGCCGCCACCUCCUUCUCUUCAAGGUACAUUUUUUGCAACAUGAUUUGCCGUACUGGAAGAACAUAAAAACUUCAAUAUUUGUUCUACAACUAAAAAUUCUUGUUUUGCAGGUCCUCCUAAGAAGGGACACCACAUGGGUGACUUCAUUCCUCAAGAAGAACUUGAAAAGUUCAUGGCACGCUGUAAUGAUGCUGAAGCACAAAAGGCUACGAAAGAAGCUGCCGAGAAGGCUAAGAUUCAGGCAGACAAUAUUGGCCACAAACUUCUAUCUAAGAUGGGUUGGAGGGAAGGUCAGUCAUUGAUGAAUACUAAAUAACAUAGUCACCAUUACAGUAAUUCUCUGAUCAAACCCUGUCAGAUCUUUUUUUCAAAGUCCCAGAUGUUUAUGGCAACAGUACAUCAACCCCUCUGACCUUGACCGUCAUAUUCAUCCAACAAACCUUAAAAAAUUGUCAAAUUAUGCUGUUAACAAAGCCUUCCAUCCCAAAUACCAGAUAUAAGAACUAUUUACAAUGGAUCCUUUUUCCUCAGCAUUGUCCUGCAUGCAUUAAUUCUCAAUAUCCCUACCCGGUGGAACCUUUUUUGUCAGGCACAUAGGAAGGCAAUUAGCGAUAAUAUGCACCAUUCCACUUCCAGGUGUUAAAUAUAAUUUACUGUGCAGGUGAGGGUCUUGGUAGUGAGAGAAGAGGCCGUGCGGAUCCCAUUAUGGCUGGAGAUGUGAAGAAGGAUCAUCUUGGUGUUGGUGCUGUCAAGCCUGGUGAGGUCACAUCUGAAGAUGACAUCUACGAGCAAUACAAGAAGAGAAUGAUGCUUGGAUACCGCUAUAGGCCAAACCCUCUGGUAUAUUUGCUGCCAUUGUCUACUUCCAGGAGUUGUAUGUUAUUUCUGUUUGCCUAAACACUUCUGCUAUUUUUGCAGAACAAUCCAAGGAAACAAUAUUACUGAUACAGGUUAGUUCAUCUAAGAUGUAAGACACCAAUUUUGCUGUAUUUUUGCUCACAUAACUAACAGCUAGGGAGUAUGACUAACAGCAUUGAAAGUUUUUGUUCAUCAGCAGAAAAACUAAGAAGCUCAUUUAGUCAGCAUAUAUCUUGGAAUGCCACAGAUCUGAGGCUUACGGGGGGUUCAACCGUAGCUUUGUUCUUUGUGUAGUGUUGAUCUUUGUUGCUUUAAAUUCACUUCCAUGGUGAUGUGUUGAAACGUGGAGCAUAGUUUCAUAAUGUGAUGUAUUGCCUUCUUGGAUGACAACAUAUCUUUCCUGAUUAUUCAUCUUUUUGUUGGGAUUUAUUGCCGCAAUAUCAUAUUUCCAUACUGGGAGGCAUAAUCUAAAAGUCUGUUGCAAUGGUUCUAUUUUAUUCUGGAUUCUGGAAUUUGAAUAGCUAUGUGGAACGUGAGUGUCGGUACGGAAGCUAUUACUUACUGGCAGCAUAUAACUUGGCGUUAUUUCUGUAGGAGUUAAAAUUCUGUUAUGCUCUCUGCCACUCUGAUGUGCUGAAUUAAUGGGUUACUUUGAUUGUGAUCUAAGCGCUUAUGGCCUGAUGGGCUAAUCUUAUUACACGGUUUUAUUGCAUAGUUACUUAGAUUGAAAACUAGGUAAUAGUGCUAGAUGAGUGUUAUGGGGAUUAAACUCAUUUCUUGUUUGAUGAAACUAUCUUUAUUCAUUACCUUGCCAAGUUAGGUCUCGUUCGUUUCAUCAGGAUUGGAUUCCAGCCAGGAUUACUUCCAGGUCCGGUUUGAGUGAUUCCACCCGUGUCACUCAAUCCGGCCAGGAUUCAUUCCAGGGGUGAGGAGUUAUGGUUUCAAUCCAGGCCAUCUAAUGUAGUAGGAUUCCAAUCCAGAUCGGUUUUCGUUCCAGGCAAGACUAAAACGAACAACACUUUCAAUGCAAGUCUGGUUUCAAACCGGACCAAUUCAAACCACCCGGAAUGAACCUCAUUCCGGGCCAAUCCGUGAAAACGAACAGGCCUUAGCAAUUUUGGUGUGGCAUGAACUCUCGUGAAACAGACUGACCUUACUGUUAUGCUCUCUGCCUCUCGGUCUCGGAUGUGCUGCAUUAAUGGGUGACGUUGAUUGGAAACCACAGUAAGGGAGACAUAAAUUUAUAUUUUAGGAAAAUAUCGUAAAGUUUGCACAAGCGUAUCUAUUACUCUAUAUUAAUGUUGCUAGACUAGACGAAAUCUCAGAGGCUGAGCUACUGUUCACCGACGCUGGUACGUGGGUCCGAAAUCCAAUCAGUUAUGAAAAAAAAAAAAAGAAGAAGAUUCGAGAGUCCACAGGUCUCGGUCCUCCACGACCACGAAGAAUCGGCGAACUCCAUUUGCCUAGCCGCACCUAUCGCCGUUGGUCCGCUCCGCACGCUGGGGCCGCCGGCUCGCUCCGGCGCCCGCUCCCUCGACCGGCGGAUCGCGCCGCCGCCCGCUCGAGCAGCCGCAUGCGCCGCCCGGUGGGAAUGUGAGAGCACAUCAGCAACCACCGGCGGCCGUCAACACCACUUGAAUCUUGGCAUGGAGAGAGAGAAAGAGAGAACAGAGCUGUGCAGCGCAAAAGUCUGGACAACCAACCGAAUCAGGCCACCGGCGUCGGCUCUGCCAUUGCUUCCACCGAUAGACUUCCAGAGCAGUCUGCCACCGUGGCCUCUCACUACCCUCUCUAGAGCAACCAGCAGCCGUGGCUCCGCGCUCACCGAGCCCAAAAAUGAUGGCCUUCUAGCUGCAGGCAAGACCUCAAUCCGCAGGAAUCAAAUUCACUCUCCAAGUCUUUGUAGCUUUUGUGGAUGGAUGGGGGAGAGAGAGAGAGAGAUUGCCAUGGGGAUGACCGGAUGACUAGAUGAAGGGAUAAAGGGCACAGUGCACUUAAAAAAGAAAGAAAAUAGGCCUUUUAGACGCUUUCCUCACUGGCUUUUUACAAAACAGGAGGGGAUCCCUUACUAAUUACUAUAUUAAGCAAAACAAAGAGAAAGUAUGUACAAAAGAAAAGAUAUUUAGCGAAUGAAAGAAAAAUUACAGCAGAGUAUGCAACCGUCGUACUUCAAUGGGAAAAUAGGAUUUCUUUGCUAAAUAAUGAUUCAGAGCAAAUAAAUGCAUAAAAAUCUCUUUCAUCUAGAGGAACGGCAUGAAUUUGAAUUCUGGUUUCAUUCUGAUUUGUUUCCUAAUUUUGUUCAAUACUCAAUACUAUAAUAUAUACUUAUAGCAAAGUAGAGAGAUUACAUAUGUAACUCUUUCCGUUAUUGCUUUGAGUUAAUAUUUUUGUACAGGCGCGCAUCGCGCGCCAAUCUAUCUAGCAUGGCACUUGGUGAGAUACGAAAGUUGACAAGUAGGGCCCAUUCUUGCCCCCCUUGUCUCACCAUCUCGUAUCUCGCGGCUGGCUCACUUGAACUACCAUGUGCUGGGCACCUGAAGCUGAAAUGCUGAAAGCGAAGCGCCCGCCGCCCGCAGCGAUCAGAGCGCCGGUACAGGAAUCUCUCACGCAGUCACGCUGCUGAUCGCCUCCCUCCCCAGUCCUCACUGAUUGCGCUUUGCCUCUGGCCCGGCCGGGGCCCCGGGCCUCAUGCAUGUCCAGUCACGCCCACCAAACGGAACGCAGCCAUCUUUUUGUAAUAAGCACCAAGUUGGCGGCGUUAACAAUGCGGGAUAAUCCGCUGGAUCAUCAUCGGGGACGCUGGCCUGGUUUGAUGACCUGGACGAAUAUCAUCGAGCUACCAAUCUUGGAAGAGAAGUCUGGAGGCGCAUGCUGUCGGGUGUCAGCCUGUCUCCACCGCUGGCCGCCUCGCUGUCAGCUGUACUGCACUGCACCCGGUCACUCAUUCACUGGCCGGUAGGCAAGCUUGAGGCUCAAGUAGCCGCCAUAAGCCUCCAUUGAGUACUCCUGCCAGCAUCACUGCCCAGACCUCCAGAUUUGUGGAGUGACGGUAGUAGCAGGUUACUUCUGGUAGGAAAUCGAAACCAUUCAGGACCAACGCCUGUCCGCUGGCGACAACGAAAAGCCGUUAUGGCGAGCGAUCGAUCCUGGUCUGGUUACAGUUAAGCGCGCCUCGGGUGUUAGGAUACCCCAUGCUAAAGUUUAGCACAUGUCACAUCGGAUGUUUGAUGCUAAUUAGGAGUAUUAAACAUAGGCUAAUUACAAAACUAAUUGCACAAAUAGAGUCUAAUUCAUAAGACGAAUCUAUUAAGCCUAAUUAGUCCAUGAUUUGACAAUGUAGUGCUACAGUAACUAUUUGCUAAUGAUGGAUUAAUUAGGUUUAAUAGAUUCAUCUCGCGAAAUAGCAUAGGGGUUUUGCAAUUAGUUUUAUAAUUAGUUCAUAUUUAGUCCUCCUAAUUAGCAUCCGAACAUCCGAUGUAACACUGCUAAAGUUUAGCAUCCAGUAUCAAACACCCGUCGUCGGUCUGACUGCUCCGAACGUUGUCGUUCCACCGGCCCCGAGAUCAUUCCCGGCUGCCUCGCAGCUGUGCGCGCGCUGGCGACCGCCUACCGGCCGCCAUGAUACGAGCCGCGCCGCGGACGUCAGGUUCGGCCGCUCGUCUCGUGGCGGCCGGUGGAGACUGGAGAGGUGACCUCGAGACAAACCAAUCCAGGAGGCCGCGGUGGUUGGCCACUCGCGAUCCGACCCGCGCGGGUCCCCCCGUGAAGUUCCCCCUUCGAGAUCGCGAGCCAAAAAUAUCGCAUCCCCGGCCGGCCGGCCCAGCUCCAACCUCCAACAGGAAGCAAAAAAAAAUCAACGGGCUUGUGGCGGUCGCGGUCUCGGGGAUCCGUCGGCCGGAGCGGCCGAACGAUCGCGUGUGGCGGCACGCCGCGCCGGGGACAUGAGGCGUCGGGCCGCGUGGAAGUGGAGGCGUGCGUGCUCAUAAAUGAGCACGCCUAGAAGCGGCCAGGAGUCCAGGACGGCGUGGUCGUCGUGUCACGGGCACUGCGCGCACGCCAGUGCCGUCCAUCACGUACCGUCGGCCGUGCGUUCUCUUUGCAGCGGCACGGUUUGGACACCGGAGGAAGUACGUGACAGGAUUUGGCAUGCGACCACUCGCACCGUACUUUGUAAAAAAGAUCAAGUAGCGUGGCGCAUUUCGGUUCCAGGCUUGGAUUACUCGCCGAGAUAGGCCGGGUGACAAGAUUAGGCUAGCUAGGGUAUGAAUGAGUGGUCGCAUUUUUCACUUUAUGGGUUUUUUAGAUCGCUUCCAGUUCAAAUUAUUCGUGAACCGAUCUAUGGACCGUCGAGAAGUUCAAACUGGAUUCCGAAGUAUUCGAAUCCAAAUCUCGGCGUGGCCGUGACCGUGACCAAACAGCCCAAGUGGGCGAGCUGCUGCUGCUGACCCGGCCGCGCAACCGCCUCCACAUGACCCAUCUCAUCUCAGGCUCUCCGCGGCUGGCACCCCACGUGCCGGCGCUGGCCUGACACCUUGGCGCAUGGGCGCGGCGCCCACCCGGCCAGCUCCGGUUGGGUACACCCGGUCCUUGCUUGACGGUGGAACAAAAACACGGCCGGCCCGGCAGCGUACGCGCUGCUGAUAAAAAGGCUAGCGACCGGGUAAAUUGUCGCGGCAUUUUGUCGGGUUAGACCGGCGCACCGUAGAUCGGUUCAUGGACCCCUGGUGACCUAGCGUCAUAGCUCGUCAUUUAGACAUAGGCAAAAGAAGAUCUUCAUAGAAGAAUGUGUUAGAAAAACGGAAAAACUCCAUCCUUAUUAGUCACUUGGGAAGCGUGCUACGACAAAUAAAAAAGAUGGCAAGCGACAGAUAAAAAGGGACGGAGAGAGUAUACGGUAACAGAGAUGCAUGCUGUUAUGUUUAUUUUACUACACUAUACCUAUCAAGAUCUUUAUAACAUUUUCGGAGUAAUAAAUGUAACCCUUAUUUUCUAGCUACCAGGUGACUCCUAAAUUUCGAACACAUAUUGUUAUAUUGUUGUACAAGGUUCAUUUUGCUCUUAUGAACCUACAUUGCAAAUUACAAUAGGGAUUUAUGUGUGAUUGUAUGACUUACGGACACAUGCACCAAAGAUUAUUCGAGCCAGUGAUGACCGAACUCACUUGGAUGAGAUGCAAGGGGAAAGAUGAAGUUAUGUUUUGGGGAUUACACCAAGUGUCGUUGUACGGACGAUGUAAACGGCUCCGUGCAGUUUUUUUUCUUUGGCACAAAGGCAUCAUUUUGUCAUAGAUAAAAUAAGUGUUUGUUUAAUUCAAGGGUAUGCAGCCUCAACAUUUACCUUGGUUCGUAAGGAUUUUGAUUCAGUUCCAUUCCUGUGAAUGCUUCUUUUUGUUCGAAAAAUUAAAAUGCAGAUAUCGUGCUUAGGAAGAAUACCGGACGGCUGGCAGUAACAAAUCAUACAGUAUUUGCCUUCUAUAAAGGCAGCUGGAGACUGUUCUCCGAAAUAAAUCAUAGCGGCUUAGGAGUGUUUGAUACGAGGCGCUAAACUUCAGCAGGUCAUAUCGGAUGUUUGGAUACUAAUUAUAAAGGUCAAACACGAGCUAAUUACAAAACUAAUUGCACAGAUGGAGUCUAAUUCGCAAGACGAAUCUAUUAAAGCUAAUUAAUCCAUCAUUAGCAAAUAGUUACUGUAGCACCACAUUACCAAAUUAUGAACUAAUUAGACUUAAUAGAUUCAUCUCACGAAUUAGACUCCAUCUGUACAAUUAGUUUUGUAAUUAGACUAUAUUUAAUAAUUUAUAAUUUGUAUUAAACAUGCCAUAUGACAGGUACGGGUAUCCAAACACCUCCUCUCCUUUCCUCUUGGUAUGUUUAGCAGUUACCCCUGGCGAAGCCGUUUCGUCGACGUGCCGUGGUUUAACGGACGGGACGGGGACGGCCGGCUCACGUGAACAACGCCCACGAGGCCGCGCUGGCUCUUGUAAAAGCAACCGCUCCCUCCCUAGACGCUAGUGCCUCUUUCCUCUCUCCUCCGCCCCUUUUUAUCGCCCGAUCUCACACAUUUUGGAAAGAGGAGAGAGAGAGAACGCCCAGCCAAACAGCCAAGGAAACAAACCGCGGCGAGAGGCGGAGGAGAGGGAGGAAGGAGGGCAGAGGACGAGCAAGAUGAGAGAGAUCAUCAGCAUCCACAUCGGCCAGGCCGGGAUCCAGGUCGGAAACGCCUGCUGGGAGCUCUACUGCCUGGAGCACGGCAUCGAGGCCGAUGGCACCAUGCCCAGGUGAGUGACGAUCUCGAUCCGCGAGUGCGUUGCUUUUGGUUCCCCAAAUUUUUUGCUGCGUGCAUCCGCCUCGCGAUCUAGGUUCUCGGCUUGGGCCGCCUCGAAAAUCUGGCGGUCUCGUUGCAUCUCCUCGUUGUUUCCUUCUUCUCGAGAAAUCCUUGCUUCGGCGGAGCCAACGAUGGGCGGGCGGGUGGGUAUGUUAGAUUGGAUGGUACUGUCAUGGCAGUUCCGUGUUCGUGUCUUCCUUUUCGUUCUACUUCUCGUUGCUCCUUGGCUCCUUGUAAUGGGUUUUUUUGGGUGGGAUAUGUUGCGCUUUGUUGGGCGUUGGUACAUUUCUUUGCCGGUUGUUGAGAGAUUCCCAGCACCGGACGAGAUGCGACAUUUCCUAAUUAAGAGUCUGCCCUAGCAUUUUCGGACUAUUAGGCCUUUAAUUUGGUGCGUUUGUUCUGUUCCUACUAAUUAGGCAGGCGUCACAGAGGGGAUGCGUUUGGCUUUUGUAUAGAGGAGCGCACGUUAACAUGUCGUGGGACAAAUUGGGUUUCCAACUCCGUAAGACGCAAGAUCUGAAGAGUUGAAUCUGUGGGGAUGCUCAAUAAAUACUGUAACUGGUUAGCUCUGGUGGAUGUCAGCCCAUGGAUCUCCCUAGAUUCAAAAUAUCUGGUCCAUUGUUAAAAGUGCUAUGCUUAUCUCAGUUUUGCGUAAUCUUGUAGCGCCAUAGAAAAUUGUGCUGAUGCUACUGAGAAUAGAAAUCAUGUUGGGGAUCCUGAGGAGGCAGGUUACGUAGGCUCUAAUUUAUCUUUUGGCGCAUAUGCCAAUGACUCUUGAUUACAUUAACUGAGUUAACUGAUUUAUAAGUUCUUACUGUGCGGUUUUUUUAACGCUGUAUUGUUUGAUUGUGAUGCAGUGAUACCUCGGUUGGCGUUGCACAUGAUGCCUUCAACACUUUCUUCAGCGAGACUGGUUCUGGCAAGCAUGUGCCGAGGGCCAUCUUUGUCGACCUUGAGCCCACUGUCAUUGAUGAGGUGCGCACUGGCUCAUACCGCCAGCUCUUCCACCCAGAGCAGCUCAUCUCCGGGAAGGAGGAUGCGGCUAACAACUUUGCCCGUGGCCACUACACCGGUAAUUCACAUUGUGCCUUUGUGAAUAUGUAAUAGGAGUGAGUCUUGUGCUUCUGCGACUGCGGAUAUGUUCGAUUCUAAUUAUGUUUGUGGAAUGCAGUCGGAAAGGAGAUUGUCGAUCUAUGCCUGGAUCGCGUGCGCAAGCUGGCAGACAAUUGCACUGGGCUGCAGGGAUUCUUGGUGUUCAAUGCUGUUGGUGGUGGUACUGGCUCUGGACUUGGUUCACUGCUGCUGGAGCGCCUCUCAGUUGAUUACGGCAAGAAGUCCAAGCUUGGGUUCACCAUUUAUCCUUCCCCACAGGUAUGGCCUUUCCAAGAGGAGGUUGACUUAAGUAUCUGAGAAAUUGAUAAAAUCAAGUAGGUCUUGAAUCUCUAUUGGGCAAUUUGCUUAGACUUGUAUAUAAUUAAUAUCCUUGCGAACCCAUGCUAAGAUAUGGAUCAUGUAACUUGGCAGCGCUGUUAUUGCCUUCUGAAUUGCACAGAUACACUGGUUAUUGGAUCAGCCUAGCAUUAAUUAAAUCAUGUGUGGACUAAACGAGCAACUGUUGUAGACUUCUGGAGUUCUGGUUAGUGAGGAUCUUCCUUUAUAUGGUUAAGACCAUGAUAGCACAACUGUCACAGGCUACAGGCUUUCUUUAUUAGUGUCCCUAUAAAUCAUGCACUGCACAUGAGCCAACAUUAUCCUAUAGUGCUUCUCCCUCCUGUCCAUUUGAUUGUGGGCCAUUUAGUUUGUUCAUGUGAGUCUGCAUCUUAGCUGUUGUGGGGGACAGUGGGUAGAGAUGUUGUUUAAUGAUUUUGGGUAUGGUCCAUCGUUUAACUUUUCAUCUAAUGCCACUCUGGAUUGCAGGUGUCAACAGCUGUCGUAGAGCCAUACAACAGUGUCCUCUCUACCCACUCCUUGCUUGAGCACACAGAUGUUGCAGUCCUCCUGGACAACGAGGCUAUCUAUGACAUAUGCCGGAGGUCCCUUGACAUUGAAAGGCCAACCUACACCAACUUGAACAGGCUGAUCUCACAGAUCAUAUCUUCGCUUACCACCUCCCUGAGGUUUGAUGGUGCUAUCAACGUGGAUGUUACUGAGUUCCAGACCAACCUUGUUCCAUACCCACGUAUCCAUUUCAUGCUUUCAUCAUAUGCCCCUGUAAUCUCUGCCGAGAAGGCCUACCAUGAGCAGCUCUCUGUGCCUGAAAUCACCAAUGCUGUCUUUGAGCCCUCAAGCAUGAUGGCCAAGUGUGACCCAAGGCAUGGGAAGUACAUGGCUUGCUGCUUGAUGUACCGUGGUGAUGUUGUUCCCAAGGAUGUCAAUGCUGCAGUUGCAACCAUCAAGACCAAGAGAACUGUCCAGUUUGUGGACUGGUAAGCUGUCUCCGUCACAAUUUUAGUUAGUUGCACUUAUUUGAUGAUGUCACAAGCACCUGUCCACUUGAUUGGCCAUGCUAACUAACCAAACUGUGGUGCCGCCAUACAGGUGCCCCACUGGGUUCAAGUGUGGUAUCAACUACCAGCCACCAUCUGUUGUCCCUGGAGGCGACCUGGCAAAGGUCCAGCGUGCAGUGUGCAUGAUCAGCAACAACACUGCCGUCGCCGAGGUGUUCUCACGCAUUGACCACAAGUUCGACCUGAUGUACGCCAAGCGCGCCUUCGUGCACUGGUACGUCGGUGAGGGUAUGGAGGAAGGCGAGUUCUCGGAGGCCCGUGAGGACUUGGCCGCGCUCGAGAAGGACUACGAGGAGGUCGGCGCAGAGGGCGCGGACGACGAAGGUGACGAUGGAGAAGACUAUUGAGUAGCUGGUUAAUAAGUAGUUCGCUGGUGGUUAAUGGUUGGGUUGUUGGGUAUACUCUGUAUGGUUCCAUUCCAUUGCGUACUGCUGCCGUGUGUGUUUCCAUUUUGUAUUAUGUGGUAUAAAUUGUUCGUAGCGCCUGGUUGGCCAUGAUUGUUCAUAUCGUCUUGCUUUGGUUUGCAAUGCUAUUCGAUGAAUUUCGGUGUAUAUCAGUAUAUGGCAUUCUGUUGCAAGUGUUCUGUGCUCUCAACCAUUGGGGAGGAGUUUGAUCUGCCCCGCGGCGUGUUGUCAGGUGGAUAUCAACCAAUGCAGGAUAUGGUUUGCAGGUUGCUCAUAGAUGCCUGAUGCUACGAUCACUGACCAUCAGUCACCAAUGCAUUUGAGGUGGGCAUGGUGUGUCUGAGCUGCUUGAGCCAUACGCUCAGGGUAUGAUGGCAUGUGGAGAUCGCCGUGCUCGUCUGGCACAUCCGGCAAGCGCUGGUCGCGCACAUUCCCCCGGUUUGUCCAGACUUGGUGUCGCGACUCGCGAUGCAAGAGGGAUGAUAGGUGAGACAGCUUGGAAAGUGUUUAGAUCUGUGCACGAGAGCCCCGCGACCUGGUGCCAGUCGAUGUGGGUUGGUUGGUUUGGCAUCUGGUAGGUUUGGUGGCCUCAUGACGCUUUAACUUGGGAUGUCUCGUUCAGGAUCUCAGAAUUAUGAUGUGUCGAAGAAGCGUAAGGCCGGGUAAAAGUUGGAACUCACCCGACGAGCGUGAGUGUGUGACCCUGGAGUUUCAUUAUCGAAAAAAUUAUCUGGCGGACUUCCUGACCCGCCAUGGAUUCAGGCCAGGUAGGCAGCAUCAUUGAAGUACUACCAUCUGGAGUAAGAGUCGGUAGGUUUUCUGCAGAUCAGCAGAUGUGCGUCCCAGUAGCUAUGACUCCACUGGAGCAGAAGCAAACUGAGCCCAACCCGGCAGCCCCAAGAAAAAAGGUUUGGGCUGGGAAAUUGGGUUGCCGGCAAGGCCUUGUUGCGUGACCAGACUCCGGCCCAAAGAGGUGGCAUUACAAUCACCUCCAAAUAACGUAGCUUAGCUGCUCUCCAAAACAAAAAUUAAAAAAAAAUAACGUAGCUUAGCUAGCUUGCUGACUGACGAUGCCAUGGUUACAAAAGAUGCCAUGGUUUGAUUUGAUGACAACAAUGGAGCCGUUGCCGAAGAUGGAUCCACUCGAGCAAGGGCACAGGCCGCCACUCAGUUUUUCUAAUUUCAAUGGGCAUAAAGCUUAUCUAGUAAAGUUAUAAAGGCACACAUUUUUUCCAACUAGAUCCGGCAGCUAUGGUGUCACGGAGGAAUUGCCACAAAGACGAACAUCCAAUGUGUUGGGGGUUGUCGGAUGGGAGAGAAUUUCCCGCAUAUUAUUGGAUGCAUGGACAGAAGUUCCCACCGUUGCGUGAGCGCUGACACUACGAAAACUGACACCGCCCAUGCAGCAACUUGCAUUGCGUUGGUUAGAGCAACUGUUCCGUUCGUUGCCAUUUUGUUCCCUCCUCCGGCAUGUUUAAACUAGCAAAGCAUAAGUAGCCAGGGGGGAUCAACUGCAUCUGCCGCCUGCCGAUAACACGGCCGAGUCACUCACAUGGAGGAGUUCUGAUGCUUUUGCCCACCCUGCUGAUUCCUGAUCCCUGAAUAUUAUCGCGUGUCCAGGAGUUCCGGGACCCAUUGCUCACCUGCUCCGCUAAAAAAAGUUGCAAAAAAAGAAAGAAAAAAUGGCUCUCCCCUCCUUGUCCUCGCAUUCCCGUUUGUUUCUGCCGCUGUCGCGAGCGCUCAGCACAAACUUUCUCUGCUCAGCUCUCGUGCAGGCUGGAGUUGAAGUGUUGAACCAUCGUCCGCGAGCUGCAACCGAGCCAAAAACCGGGAUCGAUGGGAUCGGACUCCGUUGGACGGGCUCGAUUGGAAGUGAAAGGUGAUUGGGGGGGGGGCCCGCGACGACAAAAGCUUGGUAAAUGUGCCGACACCUGGCAGCGCGGCGGCAUGUUUGGCUCAAAUUUGAGCGCUCCAACCCCAACAAGGCAGGCUCGGGCUUAUAUAACUUGGGCCCCAGAGAACGCGCCAUAACCUGCAUUGAUCGUGCACCAAUCCUCGAGGGAAGUUCGUUUAGCGAGUUCUUGGAUUUCCCCGUUGGAGGGACAUAUCCAAAUCUUAAUUUUUUUUACGGGAACGCCAGGGAAGGCCCUACCCGAUUUUUGUUAUAUAUAAAAAGGAAUAUGUACAGUUUACAAGGCUUCAGGCUCAAGGUAAAAAGAGAGAGUUCACAAGAGGCUACUCAGCCAAAUAUUAAUCUUCUGACUAAUGGAAGGUUUUGCCCUAAGGGUAACCUUUUCUAGCUCCGCUACAAAAACAAGCUCUCCAGCAGCUGAAUGAUAGAGUACCACCAUCAAAGAUUAUGCUGUUCCUGUGACACCAUAAGGCCCAUGACGCAAUUAUCACAAUCUCCCUAAAAAAUACUGGAUGCAAACCUCUCCCGUGCUCUGUCAAGAGGUUGGAGGCUGAGGUCCCAUUGAAUGUCCAAAUGUCCAAAUACAGCGAACAGGCCUGGCUGAAAAGGACAGUAAAAGAAUAAGUGACUGAUUGUCUCCUCUACAUUCCCAAUGCACAAAACACAGUUGUAGCUAUCCAAGUACAUGUUCCUUCCAUGUAGGAGGUUUCUGAUGUUAAGCUUAUCACGAAGGAGGAGCCAGAAGAAGAACUUGUGUUUGUUUUGAACCCUAGACUUCCACAUCUAUUUGAAGAGAGGGGAGGCCCGUAUAGAACCCUGGAGGCUUUUGUAAGCUGUUUUGCUUGUAAAGACUGCAGAUCCCCAAAUAUAAGUCCAGACAUCAUUUUGCAAAUCCCCCAUGUGCAAUUGGUCUAAAAGCUGCUGAAGUUCAGUCAGUUGGGCAGCAGCAAUCUGAGCUAUUGUCGGAGGCGAUAAACUUUCUCACCGAAAUAGAAUUUCUCUUUGAGAAAGAGGAAAGCUGCGGAAAUCUCCAUUUGAGCACACCUAAGUCUUAGAGAUCACUCCAGAAGGCAACUGAGUUUCCUUUCUGAGCAUUGCAAGUAGCUAUCAUGGAGAGGUUUUGCGCCAGAGAUAUGAUGUCCUUCCACCAAAAGGAUCCAACAUUCUGCCUUUCAAGGGGGAGUACCAUUCUUAUACAACCACUGCCAUGUGAGAUGCACCCAGGGUAUGUCCACUUUAUUAUAAAAUUUGUGAAGAAAUUUGAGGAGAAGCGUAGUGUUGUCAGUCCUUACUCCUUAGGUUGAUAAUGCCAAGACCACCAUCUUCUUUGCUCCUGCAAGCAUGCUCCAAGCCACCAAGCAACCACCCUUUUUGUCAGAUCACCACCAUUCCAGAGGACAUGUUUCUAGUACUUGUCAAUUUUGUCCAAGAUUUCCACAGGUAUCUUUAGAGCACACAUGUAGAAGGUGAGCAUAACUGAGUAUAUAGAAUUUACAAGAAUUAACCUACCAGCAUAAGAUAGCAUCCUUGAUGUACCCAUGAGGUGCUUUUCCAUACGUUCAAGGAUAGGCAUGAAAUCCACUACCGAGGUCCGAGUGGUUCCAAGAGGAAGACCGAGAUAAGUGAAGAGCAUGCUUCCAAGCUUACAACCUAAGGUUUCUGUUAACUCUGGCCAUUAUUUUGAUUCCUCCACAUUAAUGGGUACCAGGAUAGAUUUGUGGAAAUUUACCUUGAGACCAGUGGAAGUGGCAAACGUAUGAACUUUUUUGUAUAUAAGAUUCAAAUCUUAACUUUGAAAUACCAAUCUCAUUUGAUUAGUUUUGGACGAAAAAUUCAUACUACUUCGACCUUCUUUAGCAAGGCUCUACUUGGCUUUGGCUCCAGCUCUUUGCUACAGUGAUCGAUACUGUGCAACACCAUUUUGAGCUGUAGCGUGAAACCAAAACGCAAAACGAGGAGUAAAAUGGACUAAGGAGAAGAUAAAGUCGGUGAAGCAAGUUUAUUGGACUUCACCGGCUUCAUGCUACAGUGAUGAACAAUACAUGAAAAGUGCUAGAGCUGUAACCGAAGCCACGCCAAAUGCACCCUUAGAAUCUUAGCGUACAGGUAAUCUGACGAGAAACUGAUCCCUCGUCUACAGCCACAAGGCAAUCAGCUAAAUGCCUGUGAAAAUUGGCAAGUUUUGAGCAACACAUAUCCAUUGAAAUGGGAUAGAAAUUGAAAUAUAAACUCCAUUCCGCUUAUAUACCAGUGAUGACUGACGACUACCUCUUCUCCACACUCCAUUUUUAUGUACUUAAAAAAAUUGAAUGGAGGUUCUUCAAAAAGAAAUUGAAAUGCAGAAAAGAAUUUGAAUGAAGAAGUCUCAGACGAAAAUUUCUUUUUUUUUAGACGAAAAGUUUCUGCUACUGAAAAUCUUCAGCAAAUUCGAGUGCCGGAAAUUUGCGCAAGAUUUGAGCAACACUGGCGAUCUAAUCGACCGUCCUGAUCAAAUGUUCGUGGAAAAGGGAAGAAAUAAAAAUUUCUUCACCUAGAGAUAUUAGAUCCAGAGGAUCGAACUACACCGAAUUUAUCUCCACAAAGGGUACACCAAAAGAAUUGAAUUCCGAGAUCAGGUGCCAUUAUGCAGCUCAAGAAGAGAUACUACAUCCUGAAAAUUGGAAUGCACAAUGACUUGCUUUGCCACACGGCAAAAUUCGAAGCAUUUUCGCACAAAAAUGCAUCCACUGGCUACAACGAGUAGGAUCCUCGAUCUUCGUCUUCCUCUUUACACCGCGCACGCACACAUACACCUGACACCUGUUACUUCCCCGACAAUGGCCAACAUCCAGGAGGCGAAAGAGCAAGAACGACGACGCACGCACGCAGUUGAGGUGAGGCUAGCUACUAGCUCAGUGGCAGAGCGGCGAGAGAUCCCAGAGCGGGUCGCAGGCGGAGGCGUCGAGCACCCGGUCGAAAUACUCCUGCAGGCCGUUCAUGGCGUACAGCGACGCCGAGAUGCGCCGCUCCACCUUGAUCCGCUCGAACUCCGCCAUUUCGCCCGGCGCCGCGGUGGCGACCGGCUCCUCUUCCACGGGUGCGGCUGGGACGGCGGUGUCGACAGCGGCGAAGCUGUCCAGAGCCGGGAACUGGCCGAACGCCGAGUCGAACAUCCAAGAAUCGAACUCUUCGGCGCCCACGGCGGCGAACUCCGGCCGGUACACCUCACUGGCGUCCAGCGCGCCGCCGCCGCCAUUUAGCACGGCGUCGUCGCAGCUGACUGCGCUGCUGGAGCUGCUGCUGCUGCUGCUAGAGCCACCACAAGCACUAUUCGUGCUAUUACUAUUAUUAUUGCUAUUGCUAUUGCUAUUGCUAUUGCUAUUGCUCGUGGUGGGAGCAGGGGAGAUCGCCGCCUUCUUCUUCGAGAUGGCGGCGGCGGCGGCCGAGGAGGAGCUCGCCGCGGCGGCCUUGGCCUUCUUGACCUUCUUGUGGUGGAGGAGGCCGCGGAUGCGGACGGCGAGCGGGCAGUCCGGGGAGAUGCGGGGCGCGAAGUUGGUGCGGGCUUCGUUGCCGCGGAGGAGGCGGGCGGCCUCGUCGUAGGCCUUGGCGGCGGCCUCGGCGGUCUCGAAGGUGCCGAGCCACAUGCGGAUCUUCUGCGUGGUGUCCUUGAUCUCGGCCACCCACCGCCCCGACGGCCGCUGCCGGACGCCGACGAACUUGCUGUGGUUGUUGCUGCCCUUCUUCCGGCCCCGCGGCUUGGACGGCUUGGCCUGCGCCGCCGCCUCCUGCUGGUAGUAGUAGUAGUAGUAGCUGCUGUAAUCCUCGAGCUGGAACCCUGAUGACUGUGGCUGGAAGUGGAGCUCCAUUGGAGGCUUUCUUGGUGUUCGAGCUGAUGGUUGGAGUGGUUGGAGGGGAGAGGAGGAAGACAGGUGUCGAUCUGCCGGGUGCUUGCUCUGCUUUGGUUUUGGUGGUGAGCAGCUGAGCACAAGGGGAGAGGAUUUAUAGAGGAUUUCAGGUCACUUGGCAAUGGAGCCCUGUGGGGUUACUGUCAUGGGCUGGUCAAAUGCUGGUCUGCCUAUGAUCAUGUGAAGUGAGUGUUUGGGGGAUAAGGCAUCUUGUUGGGUUCUUUUUGUCCUUUCAGUUUGUUUUUCGGCUUUGCCCUUAUGCAUUGUCACUGAGCAAACAAAGCUAAGCUGGUGUUCUUUCCAUGAUUAUUUUUUUUAACUAAGUUUGUGCUAUUGCUGGAUCAACAAAUCGGUGAGCUUGCAGCCUUAGUGCAUCACCACUCACCACUAUUUGACCUUUUGGCAUUUUCUUUCAUUACUAUAUAUCAUAAGAAAGAUAAUCAUUUUACUUUUGACUCAGUACAGUGGAAAUUCCUUUUUCAAUGUCUCAAAGGGUUCAUGCCUGCAGGCUGCAGGCAGCAAGCACACUAGAGUUCAGCAAGUACAUGCUCCCCACUACAAUGCCAAGCACCGAGUAAAACUUGGAAGCAGGGGUCAGAGGGUCUACUUCAUCUAGUAACUUAAAUUACCAUGUCUACACCUGCAUGCAUUACCUUAACCGAAAUUUUUAGGACACUGAUUGGACUAGUUCUUCCAUAAUUCGCGGUUAUCCCUCUGGUCAAGCUACUUACAUGAGACCGGGUCCGAAUUGCACCAUAACCCGCCACAUGGCAGCAUUAGAGAGAAUGGCGACGAGCAAUUAGGAUACAAAGUAGAAACGGCUAAACAUCACCUUUUCAUCGACCACGCCCACUUGUGCUUUGUUUAUCUUGUUUCUUGACAAAAGCUGCUAUCAACCAAGUCUUUCUCGUCACUGGAUGAUGUACUCGUCCUUAGCUAGUUCAAUUUUGGGCGCCCAUGAGUUUUUGAAAGAAUCUUUGCACAGAUAGCAUAUGAAUAUCAUACAAAACAGCAGCCCGAAUUGUUUUCCGCAGUAAUAAAAUGCUUACUACCAAGCAUUAGUACUUGAACACAUCACAAAGAAAGUGUUACUUUGACAUGGACACGAGUGCCGGAAUCCGACUUCCGACUAGGGUUCGAUUCUUCGACUAGGAAAAACUUUAUUGAAAAUAGAUAAUAGUUAUUGUCUCUUCGGAGACGUCCAACAAAAUUACCGGGCGUAUGAAUGAGUACCGGAGUCCAACUCGGAUUUGUGAAUUGGCAUGGGAGUUGAGUAACACACACAAGAUUCUAGAUCCAGAUAUAUGAUAGCAGUUUUUCACUUUUUUGGAAGUUCCCUUUGACAUGGAAGUUGAGCUAACAGUUGACCACCCGUUCAGGCCUUCUUUUUGCAGAAUGAGCACUUGAGGAGUUCAAGGUAACAAUACGUCAAUAACUGGAGUGUUAGCGUUAUGAUUUUUACACUAGGAGACAAAUCUAAACCCUGAAGCAUCUUUGCUUUACCUUUGAGAAUAGCAACAAUUCUCUAGCCGGUUGAAACUGAAGCAAGCAUGAUGGCAAAGGCUUUCUUGAUCUCUCGGAACUAAAGAGACGGCACUGCUAGUUUAAUGAAACAGGUCUUCUCUUUGCAUACCACAAUGUACUGUUAGGAUUAACAAAGCUACAUUCCUUGGUAAGCAACGGGCAUAUUUUCCCUUCAUAACUUGAGAAAAGGUCAUCGUCAUGACUCAUGAACACGGACCCCUUCAACUCCAAAGGCUUGCCUACCUCACCUAUCAAAAAGGCAAACUUUGUCAAAUUGUGGCGCGUCAUUCCACCAAAUAAACUAUGUUCAGCUUGCUGAUUGAGCAAUAGGAUAGAGCACCCACAUUGGCCAUAGUUUUAUAGUCAGGAUGACUCCAAGAAGGCUAUGGCUCGUAACCUCUUGUUUCGUAGCAUGGCAGAUGCCCUGUUUGUCGCUGUCAAGGUGCAUUUCUUUGUCGAGCUCGGUGGGGCUACCUGCGCCAACAUGACAAGAGACCACUUUUUGGGCAGCAGCAAGGUCAAGAAAGAUGGCAUCUUGGCAUCGGUCCCGGGGGUUGGUUUCAGAUUUGUCUUUGUGUGAUGGAGCCGCCAUGGAGCAGGAGGAGAUGGACAUAUUCCAGCCGUGUUUUGGGAGGUAACCCUCUCGCGACCAAUUCUAGCUCAUUGCUGACGUCAAAACUUUUCGCAGCGAAGAUUAUCUGAAAGCUACCUUUGGAAUUUUUUGCCAUUGGUUCCUUUACGGUGACGAAUGCACCUGCUAUGUGGUUGUGUACUUCUAUUGAUUUGUUGAGAAGAAAACCCAAACAAGGACUAUCUGGCUAUAGGGAGCUGGGACGAUAAACAAAAGCAGCAUCGUAAUGCAUGCUCCUUCAAAUCUAGAAAGAACAUGAUACGGCUGCAUAUAUCUAAAACGAUUUCGGUUGGGGCUGCCAUUUCCAGCUCCCCAGCCGUCGGGAAUCUUCAAUUCCGCCGCAGAUUUCUCGAUGCCACUCGUAUGAAGACAAGGCCGCCAUGCACAUGUGCGGGCAUAUCAACGUUCAACGGAUAGAAUCGUGAAGUUAUUUUUCUUUCAACACAUGUUAAGGUAGCAAAUUUCAGAAGCCACACAAAAGGUAAAGCCACGUUCGAACUAUCAUCUGUUCGUAGUGGCUUUUUAACUCGAUGCCAUGCUCGACGGCUUUAACACAAGCUGGUAAACGUUUCGUUUUUCUCAAUUACUAACCACGGAGCAUGCACAACUUCAGCAUUUCCAAACUGGGCAUAUCUCAAAAGUUUGCAAGAAAAAAUUGGCAAAUAAAAUGACUACAAUUAACGGGCAUCAAAGCGAUGCAGAAGGCAAUCUCACUCAAAGUACAAUGAUCUCAUUACCAAAACUGAUGCAGCAUAGGUCCAACCCAACCGACAACAAACCUCACCAUUUCCCUUACACCUCUGUUGCCAGCACGUCUCAAAACCAUAUUUUGAGUACAUGACAAUAUACACUCUACAUCAAAACCAUGUAUGCAACUUCCAAUUCCUCCAAGCGACCGAUGCAUUCACAAAUUACCCCACCCAGAAAAAGAUUCAACACAAAAGAAUUGCCUGACAGUAACAAUGAUGAAAUAUCAAGAAGAAGAAAAAAUGCAGCCCGGACCUUGCAGCGGCAAAAAACAACUAUGUCGAUAAGAUGGACUGUAGCAGGAGCUGCUGCUGCGGUUGCAAGUUGGAAAAUGUUGACGCGAGAAAAUCUGGAGGUAAAGUCUGCUGGAAUCGCCUCAAGAUAUUGACCAUCUUGUUUUUUGUUUCAUCUGUAGCAAGCUCUGUCCCAGGGCACAAAACCUGCAGAUUGUACAAGGACAAUCAAUGAGUUCAUCCAUAACAGUUAAGUCAAACAUAGUUAUCGCUACAAAUUUACAACCCUACCAAAUUAGAGUACACAUAAAAAAAUUACCUCUGCAAAUAUUGAAAUAAUUUUCAGAAGAUACUGAUUCUGAGGGCCAAGAAUUUCUCCAUCCGACCUGCAAGCAGAAAUGGUUAUUAUAAACCGCAAAUGGGAUCCACCUUAGUUGGCAGAUUUCCAGUCAAGAACAUACCUCUCCACCAUUGAGCAAAGUUGCUCAUGUACAACUUUAGCUUCAAUCUUAUCAUCUUUUAUAGGCAAGCAACUAAGCCAUGCUGGAAUAACCUGAGAAGACUGUAUAGGUCAGUUUCGAAAAGUAUCAUCCACAAGCACAAAUAACUAUCCCCUGGCAAAGCUACAAGUGCAAAAUUAGGCUUCAGACACCACGCAGUACAGUUAGAAGCUGAGAGGUGUUCAGUUUGAGGAAUGGGUGGUCCAUCAGACCAUAACCUUCUCACUCCUCACAUUUUUGUUUGGUUUGGGAAAUAGGAUGAGUUGAUCCAUCACCACCUCAUCCCAACAAGCACAUGGUUAACUUAAUAAUGAAGAAUUGGCUUAACCCACCAAAAUUCAUGGGAUGACUCCAUAGACCAUUCCAUCCUAGACGAGGAGACUCCUCAAACCAAACACCCUAUUAGGGUUUCAGUGUGUCCCUUGCUCCUCACUCUCAGUGUCCACGCUCUCAGUCUCAGUGCGGUGAGAAGAAAGGAGAAAAAGGGUUGACCCUUUUCAGGAAUGAAAGAGUUACAAUCAGCACCGUCUUAAGAUUUUCAAUUCCAGAUUUCAGGCUUCACGCUGCUAAGCCAGCCUAGUACUGUGCCUCAGCCUCCAAGAGCAGGUACACCUUCCUAUUACCCCCCCUCCUUCCCACAUGAACUACUGCCUACGGCACACCGAGCAAUUUCUGGAAACAUGCCGUCACAAUCGGUAGGCAAUAGAUACAACCUCCAAAUAUUCAUCCAUUACCAACAACUAAGCCCUUGUCUCUAGCAAGUUGGGGUAAGCACAUAACAAGAAAAUGUUGGCCAUAUCAUCAGAGGAAAAAAAAGACAUUGAGAAUAGAGCAUAUACCUGGGCCGCGUCAAUGCCAUCCCGAUGAAAUUGACAUAUUUUUCCAAGUGCCGAAACAGCAUUGUCAUAGGCCAUAAUAUUGUCUGGAAGUCGUGCUUCAGGAUGUCGGAUAACAUUGUUUAACUUUGAUAGGGCCUCUGAAUUCAGAAGCAUAACAUGGUUGGAUUAGUUGUAGAAUGUUGAAAAAAAAGCAAAACAUGUAAAUACUGGAAAUAUAAAGAAACUACCUCCAACUAGAGGGCGAAAAACAUGACCACCAAACUCAGCACAUACACCCACACCAUAGACAGCAGCCUAAAUGAAGAGGUCCAGCAUUAUAUCAGUGUCCAAUGAGACCGAGUAAAACGGGAGAAUGGGUCAAGGGAACAUGAUAGAACAAAAAACAGACCUGCCGGACAUCUGAAUUUUCAUCGUUUGCUGCCUCCAAAAGGAAAGGAAGGUAUGUAUCAUAAUACCUCAAAGCUGAUUCACGGCAUUGCUCCGCAACAUCAUCAAAGAUACAGAUAGCUAUCCUUCUCUCCUCGGGUGUUUUAUCUUUUCCCUGCGAAUCAAAACAUAGGGUACCAAAAUAAGUAGGAAUAAAACAUCAAACUGAAAAAAAAGGUUGGAGCAUAACACUGCACAACAGGAAUAAGCAUGAAAAAACAUGCCAAUAACUAAUGAGAAGAAACCCAUUCGAUUCAUGUACAUAAACUAGCAUGCAGUAACUGAAUGCUCAAUAAAUAACAAUAGAGAGCUCACACAAAUAAACAAUCAGGUCAGGGUUCAGUUAGCUUACCAACAUUGGCGUAAUGUACACAGAGAGCUCAUCAAAGAACGGCAAGAAAGAAGCUUUGAAGGUUUUAAUCAAAGUACCAAGGCACUCGCUGACCUGAAAGUUUAAAUAUGUUAAAAGAAAAUUAAUAGGUAAAUCAUUUAACAUAACAUGCCAAAGACAGUUUUCUCAGUAUGACAAAACAGAUAAAACUUCAAAUCAUUUCAAAACAAACAAACCUGAUCAAAUACUUCCUCCUCCUGUUCAUUCUCUUCUUUGAGUAGCUCUCCUUCAUCAGCAUCAAAAUCUUCCGCUUUUGUUCUUUCUGUACGUUCCCUUUUCCUGGUUGCGCUGGCUAUAAUGACAUUUUUAAUCUCAUCCGAAAUAGCUCGUACUUGGGUUUCAUCGAGCAAACGACCAGAAAGCUGCUCAUGAGUAAGAUCAAUGGAAAAUUGAGUCAUAAAUAAACCAUUCAAGAAAAUAGAAUAUUUAAAAACCCAUGCGAAGAGAAACCAACAGAACUAUAACACAUAUUCUUUCACCCACUGAACAUAGUGAAAUGAUCCCUUUCUUGUCUUUUUGUGGUUAUAAAGUGAUAAUCACGGGCAAGCACAUGUUCACAUAUGCAGAUGCACAGAUUUCAGAAUUGUAAAAGGAGCAAAUCUGCGAGCACAACUUUCAGAUAAAAUCUGCGUGCACUUUAUAAGUUUCAUUCUAACUAGACAACUUUCAGAUAAAAUAUGCUAAGAUAUACUUAUUUGAUAACAUAGGGGUAGGUUAGGAAAAAAAGGUGAGGUCCUAAAUAUACAAGUGAAGCUUUAGGAAGAAUCUCAAUCAUGGAUUCAAAUUAUGAAGCAUAGAUGGUGUAAAUGCACAAACCUGCAUGCACUCAUUUAAUGAGUCCAGCAUGGAUGAGCACAUUUCUGUUUCUGGCUCCUGCACAAAGGACGCAAAAAGUUCAGGUGUCAGCAUGGGUAAAAGAAAUAAUAAUUCAACUACUGAGAUAUCUUUAAAUAGACCUUGUGAAGUGCUUCAACAAGAGCUGGAAUUACGUAGUCAGACAACUGUUUAACAUAAGACUCGUCACGGCCUUGAGCCUGUCCUUUCUCAACAGCCAACUUUGCCGAACGUAAGAGUUCCGGCAUUGCUGCACAGAUGUUCAGAAUUGUAAAAGGAACAAAUCUGCAAGCACAAAUAAAUCAUAGUGUAACAUGAAAAUACCCGCAACAGCAGCUCUUCUGACUUCUUCAUGGAAGUAAAACUUCAGCAGAGGGACCAACGUGGGGGCAACCUACACGUAAAUUUGUAUCCAAUGAUAUAUGCUGGAAAGGGGCAGCUGAAACUUGAAAGAAUUAGAUAUUGGAUAUGUUUAGUGCAAUAAUGAACCUGAUCAAUCCAUGGGAAGAAACCCUCCUUAAGCUCAUCAGCAUAACAGCACAGCAUGUUGCAAGCUGUUGCUUUCUCUUCCAGCACACUAGUUCGGAUUCCUAUUCUCUUGUCACCAAGUGUGAUUGUUUCAAUGCUGUAUAAAACACAAAUUAAGGGUAAGGGUAAGUGUAAAAAAAAUCAUACAAAGUUAAAAGUAGGAUGCUCUCCUUGUGUCAGCAGAAAGGUGAAUGAAUAGCAAAAGCUUGGCAUCAUCAAUGAAAAAAACCAAAACACAUGAAAAAACUCCAUAAAUGACAGUGUAAAUGUUCUACCGACUAUAGGCACAGUAAAUCUAAAAGCUUGUGUACGGUUCAUAUCAUUUCAUACUGCAAAUAAGUUUAAAAUUAGAAUGCUAAACUGAUGAUUUUGCAGCUUAAAACGAAUUUCUUCUAAAUUUUCUCCUUUGUACAUUCUCCUGGAUACUUCAGAUACGGGCAUAUAAAAAGUCAUUUAAACAAAAAAUUGUACAUUCUCCAGGAUACUUCAGAUACGGGCAUAUAAAAAGUCAUUUAAACAAAAAGACAAGCAUCAACCAUGGAAUUAAAAAGAUUCCAUAUUUGCAACUGUACAAGAGCGAGAAAGGUAUAGAUAUUUCUAAGUGGAAAUAGUCCAACAUAGUUGUCAGGUUUGCUAACCUAAAUCUCUAAUAAAGUAGAUAAAACAUUGCAACAGAAUGAUAACAGACCUAUCGUCAUCUGAUUCUAUUUCGUCAUCUGAUUCGGCUGAAGUAAUUGUCACAUCGGGCUUCAGCUGAGCAGACUGAAGCAAUGGUGGCAUAACAACACUCAUGUAAGGAAGGAAAUCCUGCCCAAGACAUUUGCAUAGCCUGGCCCAAGCCUAUCACAUGUGGUGGUAAGUGUUAGAUAUAUAUUUGAAGUGUUGUUAAGCCUAGUUUCAGAUGCUUUGAAACAUACCUGCAACAUGUAGCUGGUAAUUGGAUCAUCAGUUUCCAUUGGUGUUCCUUGCAAAGCCAUAAGUACUUCCAUAACCUAGUAAAGGGCAGAUGAUUAGAAUAAUAACACUUCCUCAAUUAAAUAAAAUAUUACAGCUGAUUGCACAUUUAGACUUAAAAGUGCAAGAAGAAGAAAUGACAGCCAUAAAUAAUGAUUUUAAUAAACAGAAAUAGACAUAAUUUUUCUGAAUUCCGAUAAAUUAGCAGGAAAAGCUUGAACAGUGAAACGGUUCAAGAAUACGAACAGUGGUUACAGAUCAAUCACAAAUUAUUUGCAACAAAAUAGAAGUACAUAAUUUGCAAGCUGGAACAUAACAUUACAAGUGAAAGAAAAGGCUAACCUGCCUCGCGUCGUCUCUGAACUUGUCCUUACCCACAGCCAUUCCUACCAAACUAAUACACUCCAUGGACUUGGCACGGAGCAUCCUAUUAGACUUGUCAGUUGCAUUCAUCAAAAUAGCUUUUAGGUAUGGCAUGACAGCAUCAUAGUAUUUCUUGAAGUGCUCCUGCAAGGCAAACAAACAAAAAGUUAUCAUAAUGCUAUCAGCUUGUUAUCAACAGCAGGCAAGACAGCACUAAAACAAUUUGUUAUAAUUGGUCAGCUAUAAAAAAGUUAGUCAAAUGCUAUAAAUUUGUUAAUAGGUGCUUCUGCCACUCAGGAGCAGACAAAUAAAAAGUUUAGUCAAAUGCUAUAAAAUUGUUAUCAUUACCAAGCUAUACAGCACUAAAACAAUGAGACAACCCCAUGAUACAUGUGAUACAUGACGACAGAAAUCCAUUAUGCACAUAACAAAAAAAAA